AAAUUUCGUAUACCGAAGUUUUCUCAUUUUGAUUAGUUUGUUGCUGUUACUACAAAAACAAAAAUCUACGUAGCCGAAGAGAAAAAAAAAUCGCGUACAGAAGUGUUCCUAUUGUAUUUAGUUUGCUUAUAUAGUACCAAAAAAAAGUUAUACAAGUUAAAAAAAAUAAAGUGAAAACUUGUUCUAUUGUAAUUCAGUCCCGAUCCAUCUUCUAUUCUACUAUCCCUAAUCAUAUACACUGUAGUGGGCCAAAUUUGCCCGGCCCAAACAAAUAAAAAAAACCCAAAACAAAAUAUAAGAUAAAUCAAUAAAUAAAUAAAUUUAAAACCCAAGUUUUAUAACAGUCUAAUUAUAUGGCCAAUAAUAAGCCCAGUUACAUAACCAAUGACCCAAUAACUAAUGCCCUACAGCCCAAUAUCAAUUACUAGCCUGUUAGGCCCAGUAUUCUGGGAAAGGAAACCCUAGAGCUUCCUCAUCACUUCCGCGCCGCAACCACAGACGAGCCCCAGCCCCAGAGCCAUACACUCGUACUUCCACGUCAACAGCCCUCGUACACCCACGCCAAGCGCCAACACGACCCCCGUACACGCGCCUUACUCCGUACCUGCGAACAAGACAAACGCAACAGCAACAUAGAGCAGAAAAAAAACAAAGAACAAAUGUGUAAUUCUUUUUAUUUCUUCUUUUUCGGCUAUAAAGCCAGGAUCUGUAAUCAUUGUAAAGGUUACGAAUACAAAGCAAAAAAAACAGACGUAAUAUACAGAAGCAAUACAAAAAAAGGUGAUUUUCAAGUCUGUCUAUCCAUUCGUCUUCCUUCUCGUUGCCUUAUGAUUUUAGCAUAAAGAAAGAAACGUUUGGAACGACACCGAUGAAAUCCUGAAUAUCUUAGAAAAAUUGAGAUAUGGAUGAGGGUCGGAUGAUAUUAAGUUUUUUAUUCGAUUUCAUCGUCCUUUUUAGAACGGUAUUAGAUCUAGAUUUUUAAGAAAAGAGAAAGAAAAAAUAGGGUAGCAUACCUGGUCCUUUGCGUGGUACCGCCGUUUGGAGGGAUCUGGUCAUUGCUCGCACGUCGCUGGCCACCGAUUGAAAUGGUGGAUCGGCGGUUGUGGGAGGAACCCUAACAGAUCUUUUUUGGGGGGCUGCAAAUAAGGGGUAAAGUGUUGGCUACGUUUGGUGAGAAAGGAAAAGUGAAGGAAGGGUUUAUACUAAUCUACCAUGGAAAACGGCGCCGUUUGGGUCAUUUAGGGUCCGCGCGUCAACUCGAAUUGUGACCCGAAUCCGCGCCUUUUCAUGCAGAAUGGGAAAUUCUCCCGCUAAGCCCUCCAUGUUCACGCGGGUCUUCGAUUGAGCCUUAUGCGCCUCGCCUUUUUUUUAAUUGGGACUUGUAAUUUGCACAGGGUUGCAAACUGAUCCGCGCACAAACACUGUGUUUUGAGAGUUGGGCUAUUUCCAGUCUCAGUCCUGGUGCAUUAGCGCACUUCGCGCUUUAGUCCUCUUGUUCAUUAUUUUAUUUAUAAAUUAGCCCACCCAUUUUAAUUUCAUUUUAAUUAGAUUUCUUUGACUUGUAUAGCUCAUUUCCUUUUUCAAUCCUUUAUAUUUUUUAUGUAUACAUGCGCAUGCACACAUCUUAGAUUUUCAUAAUGAUUUCCUUUCUAUCGUAGUACUUUACAAUAUUUUUUUAAUAGAUAUUUCAUAAAAAAAAUACUUUGUACAUAUGAGUAUUUUUUUUUAGUCUAUCAUGUACAUAUAUAUUUUGUAUUAAAGUUAAUUUUAUUUCACAUAUUUCAUACAUUAUUAACUUUAUAUUAUUUAUACACAUAGUUCCUUCCAAAUUUAUUCUUUCAUUUUGUAACGUAGUCUUACAAUAUAUCUUUAAAAUUAUUAUUAUACGUAUAUAUGCUUAUUGAUACCUACAUUUGAUCUACAUAUAUUAUUAAAUUUAUGUAUUUUAUAUAAUUUUCCUUGUAUAUAUAUAAGCACUAUCUUUAAGAUAUCAUAUAAUUUAUCAUAGGAUUAACUUAACUUUGUAUGUAUUUCUAUGUUUUACACAAAUUUUUUUUACUUAUGUAUAUGUAUAGUAAAUCUAUCAUGUGUCUAAAAUUAUAUUUCUAUACAUUUUUACAAUCCUUUCAUAUUUUUGUUCGCAAUUUUAAAAUCUUUUAUAUAUAUAUUGUCAUUUUCAAACCAAUAUGUUUACUGUUUGGCAUAUUGUUAGAUCAAGAUAUUCAUUUCACUUCAUAUAUUUUAAUAAACAAGUAUAUAUAUCUCUAAUUUUCUUAAUCCAUUCAUUCAUGUAUCAUAUACUAUGUGUUUAUUAUUAUUUUAAAUUAGUUCCAUACAACACUCUCUUUAUUCUUAUCUUAUUUCGUAUAUCAUGCAUUGAUCAUACCUAUUGCUUUUUCGGUUCGCAUUUUGUUUUGCGCCUUUAAUGAUUUUACCAUGCCAUGUUUGUUGUCAUUGUAUUUUAUUUAUCCAUUAUUGUCGUGAUUAAUUAUUCUCCAUGCAUGAUUGAAGUUGAGCUAUAUUUCUAAUUUAAUUAUAUUUGAUUGCUUGUUCUGCUAGUUGAUUAAUAUCCUCAUUCGUUAAGCAUUGUAUCUCGUAUGUGCAUAUUACCCCAUUCAUCGUUUUCCAUUUGAUUUUAAAAAUGUGGUUUUAUAAAAUGCAAAUCUUUAUAAUUAAUUUCAUCUUAUUUCAAACCGAGUUAAUACAUCUUAAGCUAACUUUAUGAUCAUUCAUUCAAAAAUUCUUCAAAACAAAGACGAGAUUCGAUGUUUAGAAAUUCGAGGAAUCGUGCCCUUACGUGUUGGGUUACAAUUUCACGUUUGCUCAAAAUAAUUGAAUAUCACUUCAAAAUUUUAUUCAUGUCUUUUAAAAUUCUUCCAAACGAAGAAGACAUUCGAUAUUUAGUAAUUCGCAGAAUCGUGCCCUAACGUGUUGGGUUGCAAUUUCGCGUUUGCCCAAAAUAAUCGAGUGUUCCUUCAAGAUUUCAUUCAUAUCUUCUAAAAAUUAUUUAAAACGAAAGCAAUAUUUGGCUUUUGACAAUUCGGGAAUCAUGCCCUAUCGUGUUGGGUUGUGAUUCUCGUUCGCUCAAAACAACCAAAUAUUCCUUCAGGUUUUCACUCAUGUUUAUAAAAAAAAACUUUCAAAACAAAGGAUGUUCGAUGUUUGGCGAUUUGAGAAUCGUGCCCUAUCGUGCUGGGCUGCGAUUUUUUAUUUGUUCUAAACAAUCGAAGAUCCCUUCGAAGUUUCAUUCACGUUUUCUAAAAACCCUUUAAAACGAAAGAAGUGUUCGAUGUCUGGCAGUUUGGGGAAUAGUGCCCUAUCGUGCUGGGUUGCAAUCUCCUGUCUGUCCAAAAUAAUCGGAUACCUCUCUGAAAUUUCACUCGUAUUUUCUAAAGUGAGGCAAUGAUCAAUGUUUGGGAAUUCGAAGAAUCGUGCCCUACUGUGCUGGGUUUCGAUCUUUCGUUGGACUAGAUAGUUGAACAUCCUUUCGAGAUUUUCAAAUUAUAAAUUUUCGAACGCUGAAACAAGAAGAUUUUUGGCAAUCAACUUGGGUUAUUCAACCGUUAUAAAAAAGAACCACAUUUCAAAAACUUCUUAAUUUUAGACAUAAGGACAAUAUUUAAUCGAUUCAAUACCAAUUUUGGGCGUAGUGAGGGUGCUAAUCCUUCCUCAUGUGUAACCGACUCCCGAACCAGUUUUCUCAAAAGUUCGUAGACCAAAAUCAUUGUUUUAAUAAACCAAAAAUGUUUUAUUAAACUAACCUCAUUUUUAGGUGAUCUGAUCACACCAAAACAAAAGAUCGGUGGCGACUCCAUGUUUUGUUUUCCAAAAAGUCUACCUCCAUCGUUUCUAAAAAAGGGGUUUCAACAUAUACGCCACACUUUUAACCCAAUUCCCUACUCUUUCAGCCUACCUUAAACCGAAUACAUCAAUCACUUGUUACCCUUUUGAGCCGACCACCUAGACCAAGGACUAAGCCUUACCAAAUCUGCUACGAAAUCACGAGAAAAGUUACGAGAGGUAAAAGGCACGAGAGUUGUGAGCGCAAUAGAGCGGAGGUAAAAGCCUAUCCUCGAGCGUAAACACGAGUGUGAGUGAAUCAUCUUUCUUUUCCUUUCUGAGUGAUUGUGAGGUUUUGUGGUGAGGUUUAUUUGACUAUAGUUUAAAUGUCACAAGAUUCAGAUCACAAUAUGGAAGACCGUCCAGAAAGACAACCCUUUCGCAACAUCCCCGACUUAAAUAUGCAAGCCUUAUUACGAGAAAUGGAGCGACUCCUAGAUCGAAGGCUCAACCCAAUCAAAGAUCAAUUAUUCCAAGUUGUAACAAAUUGGCCAACGUGAAAGAACUCCCGAGGCGACUAGAUAAAGGCGGGAGAGGCCAAAUCAAAAUCGGGGAAGACGAAAGUUCCAAGACGAUGAAGCAAACGAACUUAGUGAUCUUGAAAACGAACAAGAGUCUAAUACUAGUGAUCGACGUAGGCAACACCGACAACGAGAUCGAAGACGCGAAGAUGAUGAUCUUAAGAACAUUAAACUGUCUAUUCCACCGUUUCAAGGUAGAUCAAAUCCGGAAGCCUAUCUUGAAUGGGAGAAAAAGAUAGAGUUGGUGUUCGAACGUCACAACAAUUCUAAGAAAAAGAAGGUGAAACUAGCAACGAUAGAGUUCUUAGACUACGCCAUGAUUUGGUGGGAUCAAUUAACUACUAACCGAAAGCGUAAGGGAGAACGUCCUAUUUCCACAUGGGCCGAAAUGAAGACGACCAUGAGGCGACGCUUUAUUCCCACAUAUUACCACCAGGAGUUACACCAAAAACUCUAAAAUCUAACGCAAUGGACCAAAAGUGUCGAGGACUAUUUUAAAGAGAUGAAAAUUACAAUGAUUCGCGCGGACGUGUAAGAAGACCCUGAAGCAACAAUUGCGCGAUUCUUGGCUGGUUUAAAUCGCGAUAUUGAAAAUGUUGUUGAAUUACAACACUACCUUGAAAUGGUUGACAUGGUCCAUAUGGCCAUCAAGGUAGAAAAGCAACUCAAACGAAAGGGACCGAGUCAAGGAUUUACCACUUCCAACACUCUCAAAUAGGGCCAAGAAACGAGUAAAGGUGUUUCCAAUUCCCGAGGAAAGGAGUUCACGGCUCCUCCGAAAACCAAUAAGUAUACCACCGAAGUGAACAAAGGCAAGGCACCCGAAUCAUCCUUCAAUUGAAAUCGGGACAUCAAGUGCUUUAAGUGCCUUGGGAGGGGCCACAUAGCAAGUCAAUGUCCUAACCGAAGGACCAUGGUGUUGAAGGCUGAUGGUAAGAUCGAAACGGAGGACGAAAAAAAGAAAGAGUCUGAAUCGACUUCUGAAGUCAAGGAGGCCUUAGAACAACCUAUAAAAGGAGAACUACUAGUGGUAAAGCGAAGUCUAAGUCUCCAAGGUGCAGACAAUGAUCUCCAACGAGAGAACAUCUUCCACACCCGAUGUCAAGUCAGAGGUAAAGUAUGUGGUGUCAUCAUCGAUGGAGGCAGUUGCACCAACGUAGCAAGUAUGAUGAUGGUUGAAAAGCUUGGCCUGCCCACAACUAAGCAUCCGAGUCCUUACAAACUUCAAUGGCUCAAUGACGGAGGAGAGCUUAAGGUAACGAAGUAAGUACUUGUCUCUUUCAACAUCGGCAAGUAUUCGGAUGAAGUUCUUUGUAACGUCGUACCGAUGCAUGCGGGGCAUUUGUUACUUGGCCGACCGUGGCAAUUUGAUAGGUAAGUUUAACACGACGACUAUACCAACCAGUAUACAUUUAAAUUUAUGGGAAAGAAUGUGACGUUGGUGCCGUUGACUCCCAAACAAGUGUAUGAAGACCAAAUCAAGCUAAAAGCUUCUGUCGAGCAAAUGAGAGAAAAAGAAAAAGAAAGUUGUAAAAAAAUAAAAGAAGAGAAAAAUAAGAAAAAGAAAACAAAAGAGAGCGACAAGAAAAAUAUCCAAGAAAAAGGAAGAAAAAGAAAAGAAAAUCGAGAAAAUGAGUGUUUUUGCAAGAGUUAGUGAUGUGAGGAAGGCAUUGGUGAUGAAUCGAACUGUUCUUGUACUUUUGUACAAGGAAGCAUUAAUUUCUACUAAUGAUUUACCAGAUACCCUACCCCUCCUAUUUUGUCUUUGUUGCAGGAUUUCAAGACGUUUUUCUAGAAGAAGCCUCGAGUGGUCUUCCACCACUUUAUGGAAUCGAGCAUCAAAUUGAUUUCGUGCCGAGAGCGGUUAUUCCAAAUCGACCUGCUUACAGAGCCAAUCCGGAGGAGACUAAAGAGUUGCAAAGACAAGUCAAUGAACUGAUGGAAAAAGGCUACAUUCGCGAGAGCCUAAGUCCCUGUGCUGUUCCCGUAUUAUUGGUACCGAAAAAGUACGGAACAUGGCGCAUGUGCGUGGAUUGUCGAGCCGUUAACAAGAUAACGAUCAAAUAUCGUCAUCCUAUUCCUCGCUUAGAUGACAUGUUAGAUGAGCUUAGUGGGGCCAAAGUGUUCUCAAAAAUCAAUUUGAAGAGUGGCUACCACCAAAUUCGGAUACAAGAAGGAGACGAAUAGAAAACGGCAUUCAAGACCAAGCAUAGACUAUACGAAUGGUUGGUUAUGCCUUUUGGCCUUACCAACGCUCCAAGUACGUUCAUUAGACUAAUGAACCAUGUCUUAAGGCCUUUCAUCGGUAAGUUUUGUGUGGUAUAUUUCGACGAUAUAUUGAUUUACAGCAAAUCUAUGGAAGAACAUGUAAGUCAUCUCAAAUAUAUUUUAGAAGUUUUGCGAAAAGAGACCUUAUAUGCUAAUUUAAAGAAAUGUUCUUUUUGUUCUAACAAAACUAUUUUUCUAGGAUUUGUAGUUAGUGCGGAUGGUCUUGAGGUAGACCAAGAGAAGAUUAAGGCCAUACAAGAUUGGCCAAGGCCUACGAGCAUUACGCAAGUUCGGAGUUUCCAUGGCCUAGCAAGUUUCUACCGACGAUUCGUUUCCAAUUUUAGCACUAUUGGUGCUCCACUUACGAGUGUUAUUAAGAAAAAUUCUUCUUUUAUUUGGAACGAUGAACAAGAGAAAUCAUUUAUAAAAAUCAAAGAUUGUCUCACUAACGCUCCUUUGCUUGCCCUUCCAAAUUUCUCGAAGACUUUUGAGAUCGAGUACGAUGCUUCGGGCAUUGGAAUCGGGGCCGUGUUGACACAAGACGGACGUCCUGUGGCUUACUUUAGUGAAAAACUCAAUGGAGCCGUACUCAACUAUCCGGUGUAUGAUAAAGAGAUGUACGCGCUCAUACGAGCCCUUGAAACAUGGUAACAUUACUUGUGGCCUAAGGAAUUCGUUAUCCACUCCGAUCACGAAGCCUUGAAGUACAUCAAAGGCCAACAUAAGUUGAACCGACGCCACGCAAAGUGGGUUGAAUACCUUGAGUCGUUUCCGUAUGUCAUCAAAUAUAAGAAAGGUAAAGAUAAUAUCGUGGCUGAUGCGCUCUCAAGAAGUUAUACUUUGUUAUCAUAUUUGGAUUCUAAGAUUCUUGGUUUUGCAUUAUUAAAAGAUUCCUAUGUAAACGAUUCCGAUUUUGGAGAGAUAUUUGUUUCUUGUGAGAAAGGUCCUUUUGAAAAUUUUCAUAGGUACGAGGGCUAUCUUUUCCGAGAAGGUAAAUUAUGUGUUCCUUGUGGAUCUGUUCGAGACCUAUUAAUGCAUAAGGCACAUAUUGGCGGGCUUAUGGGACACUUCGGAGUCAAUAAGACGCUUGCCACUCUCCAUGAAUAUUUUUACUGGCCGCGGAUGUGAAAAGACGUGAAGCGAGUUUGCGAAAGGUGUAUAGCCUGUAAAAAGGCUAAAUCAAAGGUUCAACCCCAUGGCUUGUACACACCAUUGCCCAUUCCUGAAGCACCAUGGAUUGACAUCUCCAUGGACUUUGUUCUCGGACUUCCGCGCACAAAAACGGGGAAGGAUUCUAUUUUUGUUGUUGUUGAUAGAUUUUAAAAAAUGUCUCAUUUUAUUGCCUGUACUAAGACUGACGAUGCCAUUCAUGUUGCGAACCUAUUUUUCAGGGAUAUCGUUAGACUACAUGGCAUUCUUCGUACGAUCGUGUCGGACCGAGAUGCAAAAUUUUUAAGUCACUUUUGAAGGUCUUUGUGGGGUAAAUUAGGGACCAAACUUCUGUUUUUGACCACCUGCCACCCCCAAACCGAUGGUCAAACGGAAUUUGUCAAUAUAGUUCUAUCUACUUUGCUUCGGGCCAUCAUUCGGAAGAAUUUGAAGACGUGGGAGGAUUGUCUACCUCAUAUUGAGUUUGCGUAUAAUCGUUCUGUCCAUUCAGCGACUAAAUUCUCCCCAUUUGAAAUUGUUUACGGUUUUAAUCCCUUGACUCCUUUAGAUUUAUUGCCUUUACCUACUAAUCAGUUUGUCCAUGCAGAUGCGAAGAAAAAAGCGGAUUUUGUCAAGGAUUUACAUAGCAAGGUGCGGGCCAAUAUCGAGGCUAGGACUGAGUUCUAUGUGCGUAAUGUGAACAAAGGCCGAAAACGAGUAGUUUUUAAACCCGGAGAAUGGGUUUGGAUUCAUAUGCGCAAGGAGUGUUUUUCGGCCCAACGGAAAUCUAAACUACUGCCUCGCGGAGACGGUCCUUUUCAAGUUUUAGAGCGAAUAAAUGAAAAUUCUUAUAAAAUUGAUUUGCCCGGAGAUUAUAAUGUCAGCGCUACUUUUAAUGUGUCAGAUUUAACCCCUUUUAAUGCAGAUUUCGACUUGAGGACAAGUCGUUUUGAAAGGGGGAAUGAUGCGAUCGCGCCCCAUGGUUCAUCUAGUUCGAGCAAGGAUUCUAUGGUGCUACCACAAGGUCUUGUCACUCGAGCUCGAGCCAAGAAGUUUGAGUCUAUCACAGCUUUUAUAGCUCAAAUUUGGAAUGAAACGAUAUUAGGACACUCCGAGAAAGCUGAUUCCAGCUCCUUGAACUCACCAUGCAACUACCUGCAAGUCCAGCUCAGCUCAUCGAGCUCACCACCAGCUCAAGCAAUUUCCCAUUCAACUCAAAACCAGCUCAUUAGCUUGGAAUCAGCUCACUUCUAGUUCCCCAGCUCAGGUCCAGCUCACUACCAGCUCAUGAGUCCAAGCCCAGCUCAGUUUUAGUUCAUGAGUUGAAUUCUAGCUCAUGAAGACUACUCUGACUUCAUUUGACUGCUAUUAAAUUUUUAUUUAAUAAGUUCAUUAAUUAGUUAAUUAAUAAACCAUAUAUUAAAUUUAGUUCACAUUAGUUUUAUUAAAUAUGUCUUAAAAGUGUUUAUUGAUGUUAAUUAAUUUGUCAUAACCGAAUUUAAUGUUUACAUUUGUGUUCACAUUAGCUUGAAUUAAUUCUGUUCACAUUUUCUUGUAGCAACCCAAUGGACAUAUGAAGCAUGAAACAGCAUCUCUUUUUGGAGGUGCAUAGACGGUUAAGAGCUUUGAAUCUCCUAGGUGCAUGUUCGGCUAAGUGCAUGUAUGGCCACAUUCAAUGUGUUCAAGGUUCAUGAAUGUUUCCAUUCAUGUAUGGUGUGCUACUUCUUCAUUUUCCAAGUGACUAUUCGGCUAAAAUGAGGCUUCCCAUUACUUCCUACAUGUGGCCGAACAUCUCCCUUCAUGAACCUUAAAAUUCCGUUCACAUUACGUUCACAUGGCAUGGCCUUCCAAUUCAAAGUGUUCACACCUAUGGACUCUUCAAGAAUUGGCAUUCACACUUAAUUUGGCUUAUGAAGUCUCCUCAAUUAAUUCCUAACUUUUCACCAAAUAACAUGAAUUGAUUGCCUCAAUUAUUCAAGUUGGCCGAACCUAGCUAAUGUCCAAGGGAGUCUCUCAUUCAUGAUUCAUUUCCUUAAGCAUGAAGAACCUUCAAGACAUCUCCACCAUAGCUGAAUCUGGUCAUGAACAUCAAAGGACUUCUUUCUAGAAUUUUCAAGAUGCAUUCAUGAGACUUUUACUUAAUUAUUAAGUAUGUAAAGUGUCCAUUCGGUUAGCUAGUCUUUAGGCUAUAAAUACUUAUUAUUUUUCUUUGAAAAAAACUUUUGGACUUUGUUAAUGUUAUGCUGCCAAAAUUGUGAGGCAAAACUUUUCUCAAAUUUUGUUCAAAGAUUCGAUUGGCUUCCUAGCGUGCUAGUUAUAUCAACCGUUGCCCUUUGUCGAAACUGAACUUAUCACUACUCGUAGUGUGGCGUUCAAACAUACCGAGGUUCCUAUCUUGUUAGAUAGUGGGUCGAGGUUUUCCUUUACCAUACCCAAACCGAACUAAAACAGCCUAUAAACAACGGGUCGAUACUAAAUCAGUAUUAGUUCUUGUUUGCACUUUUUGUUCAACCCCAUUUCUCCAUUUACCAAAUUGUACCUAAACCGGCCAUUCCAUUCGUACCAUUUCAUAAUACCAUUUCGUUCUUAGCCUUCAUACUAUUACGCUCAUUUCUUCAAUUUCCCUUACCUAAUUGAACCAAUUCAUUCAUUUAUACCUAUUCGGACCCUAAAUCUGAACUUUCAAUUCUUCUUACCUAUUCCAAUUCGAACCAAAACCAAUAUCCUUCUUUCUCUUAUCCAACCUUUCAAUUAAACCUAGCGUAACUUCUUGUCGACGAUCGGGCACACUAAUACUACUCGACUCUUCCGAGGCGGAUCGUAUCAGUAAGCCUCAUUGUAAGAUUUCAAAAGAAGGGCUCCAUUUGCAAACACAUCACAAUCAUUCUAGUAUGUGCGUUAAGAGCAUUAUAGAAAGUCUCCAAUUGGAUGCAGUAUGGAAUACCAUCAAUAUCCAUUGAUAUUGUGUCAAUCACGUAUUGUUUCAAUUAAUAACCAUUUUCUCAUAUCAAUUUACUAAUUUAAUUACUUACCAACAUAAUGUAUAUGUGUCAGGAAGUAUGAUUGUGAUAGUACUUGACUUAGCACAACUACCAAAUGCACGGAACAUCUCUAUCAAAACUUUAUUGAAUAUAAACUAAAUUUGCAUAACCAUUCUAGCAUCAACAAGAUUAAGUCAUAGUAAUUAAAGAGAAAACACAAAAACAAUAAGCAAUCAUGUUUUUAACGCAAGAAAGAAGUAACAAAUAAAAGAAAGAAGUAACAAUAAGUAAUCAUGUUUUCACGAUUCUCUUCCUCUUUUCUCCCUUUGUUUUGCUCUUAGCAAUGCUUUCUUAAGCUAUUUCCAACACUCUCUUGUUUCUUACUCGUGGAAAUUGUGUCCCACUGCUCAAUGGAUGAAUGCAACAUUGCUAUUUUUAGCUUUGAUUCCCUUGAUUUCCUCCAUGUAGGUAGUGUCCGUAUGCACUUCUCAAUAGCCGAUAAGUUUGUUCGUUAAAUCAAGUGAUGUGUUUGGGAUGUUGAAGACCGUAUCUUUUAGUUUUGUUUUUUUUCUUCGUUCCUUUCCAUGUGCAUACGAUUUGGGCUCUAAUUGGGUCACAAAAAUUGUCAAGCUCUUCCGACAUUAGGUUAGACGUGAAAUGAGGCCCAAAUAAAGCUUCAGUGGGCGUCUAUGCAUAUAGAUUCUUAAGGCCCAAACUGUUGGACUAAUGCUACAACAAUUGCUGUGGCAUUGAGCCUUUAUCUGUCAACUUUUAUUAUUUCUAUCCACUGUCUUCAUUAAACACCUAAUAGAUGAAAAAUGUGAGUUUAGCAUAGCAAUUGGUAAAAAUAGCAAAUUUCAUAAGACUAUUUUAGUAAAACAGAAUUAUAGGUGAAACUAUAGAAAUUGAUUAGAAAUCACUAGGAAUUUUCAUUAAAUAUGAGCUUAAAAGUAUUGAAAAUAACUCUAUAUUUUAGAAUUAUCACAAUCAUCGAACAAAAUUUAAGUUUUAUUGUUUACUAUUCAUUUGAAUAAUAUUAAAAAGAUUUAAAAUAUAUAUAUUACUAUUUAUGUAUUUUGAUAAUAAAAUUUAAAUAUAAAUUUAUAUUAUUAAAUAUAAAAAUGAAUGUGGCUCAAAUUCAUGAAAUAUUUGCGACAAAUAUUUUAGCUUCAGAAACCAAUUAUACAUUCACAAGAAACCAGUAGGUAUUGAUGAUGGAACUUUCAUAGUUCAUACCAAUAUAGUUUGGUUUUUUUUUUUAUUUUAAUCCAAAUUCAACAAUAAAUAAUUUUCCAUUAACACAAACAAAAUUGAGUUUAGCUAUCCAUAUUCUAAAAUUCAAUUCAGUUGUCAAAAACCGACUUUGCUGACUCACAACUAAUUGACUUUCAUUUCUUCAUCCAUUUUCUAUAUAUAUUCACUAUUACCAACGGAUUGCCCAAUCUCAAAAUCUGUCUUUCCAUUUACUCCUUAAAAAGGGCAAUUUAAUGGAGUUUCUUCAGAAAUCAGUUCCCGGUACCUUGAAGAGAUACUGGAGAAGGCGGCGAUACCAAAGACUCCACGGCGGCGAAGUGAUCAAGAAAAAGAACGUAAAAGUCACGAGGAUCGGAGCGAGGUCGCGAAGGUUUUGGAAGAUCAAAGCGAUACCGAAGCUGCGAUGGAGGCCGAUAAAGCUUUUGACGAAGCUCAAAAACGGUUACAUGAAUAUGAUGAUAAGAUUAGCAGGGACUGUGGGGCAUUUGACUGCUGAGAAUCAAUUCGGAGGGAAACGGAUUCCCAAAGCACGAAAGGUUGCUUUGGGUUAUUCGAGCUAUGAAUUUGAUCAAAGGUUGGUUUAUGAGAUUUACAAGAAUUUAAGUGCUACCCAUGAGCUAUAUGGAUAAAGGAACUUGACGGGUAGGGAUGAAUCUUAGAAGAUGAUUUUGUAAAUUUGAUUCAGUUCAGUUCAUUUUUUUCAAAGUCCGUUAGCUAGCAAAGGAGCAGCUUCAAGGACAACUCGACAACUGUAGAGCCUCCUGCAAGUCUGAGGCCAUUGCUUGGCAAAGGUGUAAUUAGAUUGUAUAAUCAGCUCUUAUGUACCAAAAACAUAUAUAUAUCAACCAAUGAUUACACAAAAAGCAAGUAAAUUACCUCAACCAUGUUUCAACUUAAACUAAUUCAUUCAAACUUAAUUCAACAUCCAAUCUUAAAAUUUUCAAAUCCUCAACCUUAAUAGCCAAUUAUUAAUAUUUUUUAUUUAAAUUUACUUAUAUAGAAAUAAAUUGAUAAUAUUGAAUCAUCGGAUCAUCUAUAACCAAUGCUAAAAAGUCAAUCUAAAGAUCGGUUCCAUCCACUCUCUAAUUUUCAAUUGGUUGAAUUAGUAUUAUUUUAUUUUUUCUUUAAUGUUUAAAUGCUUUAAACACUAGUUUUAAUGUAAACAAAAGUAUACAAAUAGUUAAUAGUUUUUUUUUUUUAAAAGCAUUGAUCUUCAAUGUUAUUCUUUUUAGUAAACCAUUAAAAUAGUUAUUUUUAUUAUUUUUCAGAUUACAUUUUAGUCACUUAUGUUAUCGCGUUAUAACAUCUUAGUCAUUGAGCCAUUAAUUGUCAUUAACGAUGUAGCACGUUAAAUCAUCAUUUCAAAACGAAAAUUUUAGGUUAAAUUCUAUAAUUGAUCCCUAUAUUUUUUUUCAUUUUGGGCAAUUUAAAUAUUAGGAAAACAAGAGAGAAUGGAAAAUAAAGAGAAAAAAAAUGAAAGUUAAAAAAACAUAAACGAAAAAAAUUAAAUUGGAGAAUGGCUAGUCUUGGCUAUCGAAGCAGUUGACUCCACGGGUAGAGACAUAGAUGUAUUCAUUGGUAGAACAAUACAUUUGACUGGAUUCCACGAAGCAGUUGACGUUCAUGGUGCAAUUUACCUAAAUCCUGAGUUAGUGACUAACCAUGCGUAUGCAAUUCAUGUGUUUUGAUAUAAAAAUUUUAAAUUUUAAAAUUAUUUUUAUUUAAAAUUUUCAAAAAUUAUUUUUAAAAAAUAAAAAUGAUUAAAAUAUGAAAAUUAUGUUUUUAAUAUUUUUUUUAAAAAUUUUAAAAAUUAAUUAAAUGCUAACUUAUAAUCCAUAUGAUAAUCCACACGUAUGCUAUGUCAGCAAAAGUUAACAACAUCCAUUUUAAAAGUGGUUUGACAAAAAAAAAAUUACAAAUUAAAAAAUUAAAAAAAAAAGCGAAAAUUAAAUAAAAUACUAAAAUAAUUUUUACUGAGUGAAAAGAAUAAUUUUACAUGUAUUUCAAUGUGUAUAGUAACACAAUCAACAUGCAUUUCAAUAACUAUUACCGCUAAUCUUCCAAUCAGCCAAUUUAACAUGGAAUCCAAGAAACAAACCACCAUUUCAAACAUAAAAAUUAACUAAGCAAAUUUUACAUUAGCCAUAUGUUGAAGCUCAAUUCCGAAAAUGGAGAAUGCAACGAUGUCCAUGCUACAUCAUCUUCGACCAAAGAGAAAAAAAUCCGUACCAAAUGGUAUUCCAUCUAAUAAGAGUAGUUGGUCACACUUUUACUCUGUUUUUUUUUUUUUAUGAAUGAGAAGUUUAAAAGUCCAUCGUGCAUCAUAUAUUUAUGUAUAAAGAUGAGAUUUUUCAUAGUUAGAUUUUCUCAAAAUAUUAUUCACACCCAAUCUUCUUAAACUUGAACUAGUUGAUGAUGUAAAUUGGACUUACUCACCAAAAGUGAGAAUUUUUCACACUCAAUUCUAAACUUUAAAAUAAAAGUAACUCAUAUUUCAAAUCUAUUACUUCAAUAAUCUUUCAAAUCUAUACUAACCAAGUAAAGCUACCGGAAGGAGUUGAAUAAGUAGAAAUUUUAUUUUUAAGCAUUCACUCUAAAAAACGAUUUUCUCCACUUUUAUUAAUCAGUUCUCAAGAAUAGAAGAUGCAUAUAGGGGAGGCUGGCAGGAGCACUUACCUCCCCUAAAAUAGAAAAUUAUCUAAUUAGGCCUUUAAAAAAUUUUAAAAUUUUAAAAUUUUAAAUUAGUAUAUAUUUUAAAAUUUAAUUCUUUAAAAAUUAUAAAGUUAUAUUAUAGACUAUUAAAAAUAUAAAAAAUAAUAAUUUAAUUUCGACCUCUAAAAAUAUUUUCUAAUUUCACCACUAAUCAAUAACAUAAACAGAAUAAGAAGGAUGUUUGCAACUAAUGUUGCCCAUUACUGGAAACAAUACUUACAGCAGAAUCAACAACAACAAUAAGAUAAACAUUCAUUCCAGGAAUAAAAUAUGUGCAUAUUUUAUUAGUUUAAAAAAAAUGUCAAAAAAUAUCGUAAUUAUCUUCAUCUAUUUUUCUUCUCUCUAUUUGGAGGAAUAAUAUAUUUUAUAUUUCUAAUAUUUUAAGGUGCACUUUGUAAGUGAUACACCUAUUUUUUUAAGAGGAAUAGCAUGCUCUUCCAGAAACAUAAUAGUAAGUUGAUCUUUUUUUUUUUAGGGAAACACUAUUUUUUUUCAGUUAAAUUUGGAAUAAAUUGGAUUCAAAUUAAAAUUCAAAGCUUAAAAGUAGUAUGUAAAUAUAAAAUUAAAAUUAUUUUUUGGAAUAAUAAAUUAAGUUACGUGGACCAAGCAUGGGCUAGAUGUUUCAAAAAUAUCCAGGCUGCAAUUUGGCCCAAUCAAUAAGCUCUUCUAGGCUUGGCUAUAUACCAGUACAACUAGGAAUUCAGCAUUAAAGGUUGAAAGUAGAAAAGAAUUGUUUAAAAACAACUUAAAUUGAAUUCUUUACAAUUCAAACCAGUUAAAAAAUUAUUUUAAGGGUUAAAAAUAAAUAAUUAAUUUAUAAGAGAUCAAAUUAUAAUUUUACCAUUACAUUAAUUUAUGAUUUGAUAAAAUUUAAAAGGUUUUUAUAAUAAAUUUACCAUUUUAGGAGAGUCAAGUCUUCAUGACUUUAUUUUUACUCUAUAAAAUGAAUUUAUUCGAAGGAAUACCUUUAUAGAAUAUCUGUAUGAGGAAUAUAUUAAAUCCAAUCAAUUAUAAAUCAUACAAAUUUAUAUUUCAACAAAAUUAUCCAAAAUUCAUUAAAAAAUAGAAAAAGUAAAAAGAUUAUUAAAAAAAUCUUAGUAUGGAAUAAUAUUAAAAACUUUGGAUCGAUACGUACAUAUGAAUACAAAAAUAAAACAAUAAUUAUACCAAUAUUUUCUUUCUCAAAUUUAUUACAUGCCAAAGAGAUAGACUAGUGGUUCUACUACCAUUUUUUUUUUCUUUUUGUCAAGUUCAUUUUUUUGAGUAAAUAGCAUAUAGUAUUAUUAACAUUUAAAUAUGAAUCUUUUAAGAAUUUUGUAUAUAAAAAUCUAAAAAUAUUGAAUAGACCUGCACUAGAUACAUCAUACAUACUCUACUCAACACCUACAAUAGAAUGAAUCCAAAUAACAUAAAUCGUAGAUGGUGCAGAUUAUAUUUAAUCUAGAAAACAGCAUUUUCACUUCCAUUACCUUGUUAUUCAUGACUCCGGCUUACAUUUCAACAACUUACUUGCUAAGCCAAAUGCCCAAUCACCAAACCUGCAAAAUAAGCCCAAUGCAUCUAAUUAAAACCUUGAAUUUGCUUUUCUUUUUCCAGUUCAGAACCGAUACGUUCUGGGAUUUUCAUUGCAAAUUAUAUUGCUCUAACUCUUCUAAUUUUCUUAAACCAACCAUGUCUGACACCCAUAUCCAGUGCAUAUUCGGACAUGAUUAUCACGCUAUAAUCAUUCCAAAGUCUCCAAAUGAAUCAAAAUCAUGGAAAAACAAUUAACAUACCCAUGCUGGAUGCAUACAUAUUUCCGAGACACGCAUCGAGUCCAAGUUACAUAGGUUGCAAAUGUAGGUCAACUAUUAAGAGGGAUAUAUACACAAAUUGGCAAAAUGCACAGGCUAUAUUGCACCUAAUACUCAUCUUGGCCAUUUAAUCCGCCCCAUACUUGACCCAGAGUCCAAAUAACAUAGAACGGCAUACCAAGAAACAUUCUUAAGAGAAUGGCUUGGUCAACCAUUUCAGGAUGAUAAUCAAGGCAUAUAUAAAGGCAAAGAUGGAAUUAAAGUAAAACACUGCACAAAUAACUAAAAGGUAAGGUUUACCUUGUAAAGAGACUGCCAUGGGAUCUUCGUAGCUUAGAGUACCAUGCUUUAUCAUAAGCCGUGAUUUUAAUACAGGGAACAUGUGCUAUGUAAGGCCAACCCUCUCCUUCCCCUUCCUUGCACCACUUUUCCAAAUGUGGGCAUCCCCGAAUGUCUAGGUUCUUGAGUGUUGUGAGACUCUUUAGUCCCUGAGGCAAUGACAUCAAAUGAAUACAAUAUUCGAAAUUCAACUCACAAAGGGAGGUGAGAUGUUCUAUCUGGUUUGGAACAGAAGUAAAUCCGUCACACCGACUAAUUGUCAAUUUUUGAAGACCAUUAAGAUGCUGGAUUUCUGUCGGUAAGGAAUUCAACAUCGGACAAUCCCAAAUGCACAAUUCCUCAAGAUGUGUCAAAUGCAUGACCCUAUCAGAUAAAGAGGUAAAUCUAUCGCACUGAAAAAUCUUCAGGACACGAAGUGAAGUUAAGCCAUUUACAUUACCAGGAAACGAAACAAGAGUGUCACACCCACUCAAAACCAGACUCUCUAAAGCAUUGAGGUUUUGAAGUGCUUCAGGAAUGUCUUUAAGCUUGUGGCAGCUGAAGAUUUUCAAGUGUUUAAGCACAGAUAGAUUAUCAAGAUGAUUCGACAGAGACCUGAGGUCAGGUAACGACUCUAUAUUCAACUCCUCAAGGUGUGUUUGAUUUUGCAACAAACCACUGGGAAAAUUUGUCAAGCCAGAAAGGUCAUGGAUCUUAAGUGAACCAAGAUCAGGAUGAAAUAAGACGCUCUCCCUUUCACAAAUUCGAAGCUUUUUGAGGGUUGGAAACUUUGGCAAUUCAAUCAACUCAGGGCAUUUCCUGAAAACCAAGAUUUGCAGACGAGGAAAAUUCCCCCUUCCCUCAACUGUUUUCCACGUCUCCAAAACAGGCAUCGAGUCAAAAAAGAGUUCCUCCAAUGAUGAGAACGGAUUGAUCCCAUUUCCAUAGAAUUCACUGCUAAUGCAUUUCACAGCAUCCAUUCCCUUUAUUUUAAGAACCAUGAGCAACGGCAGUUCCCCUAGAGGUGGAAGGUGUGAACAUCUUUUACACUGGUCAAGCUCAACUAACACCAGAUUCGGUAAAUCAAUCAACCAACUGGGAAGCCUUAAACCUUGAUAACAGCUUAUCCGAAUAUACUCCAGAUUAUAAUGAGGUUGGAGACUGCUAAGAACCUCUUCUUCAUUAUCUGGAAAUUCCCCUGCUUGUUUUCCCCAGAUUAAACUCAAUGAUCGGAGAUUUUGCUUCCUUAUCAAGUUGGCACUCUUGGCUUCAGUUGAACCUGUCACAUUAUCGAGUUCCUUUAGAGACAACUCCUUCCCAAGGUCUAACUCUUUAAGUUCGCCAAUUCCAUAACCAUGGUCCUUCCUUACUAUAAAUAUACUCAGUUCUACCAAUUGAGUUAGGUGCCCAAUACCAGGUGGAGUUUGCUCAAGAGAAUCACAACGUGAGAUAUCAACACACUUUAGGCUUCUCAUAUGUUGCAUUCCUUGGGGUAGCUCACAAAGAUAGCGACAGCUGGACAGUUUCAUAAUCUGCAAGUUUAGGAGGCAAUUGGCAGACUGGGGCAAUCUUUUGAUGCGAGAGUAAGACAAGUUUAGAUACGUCAAGUGCACCAAGUUACAAAAAGAAUUCGGAAUUCUCCGGAUGCAUAUACUCCCGUGAUCACGUAAAUUUAAAUAUCUAAGGUGUACCAUCUUUCCUAGCGACUUCGGUAUUUGAUACAUAUCGCAGUCCAGUGCUCUCACAUGUUUCAAAGGAGGACAAUUGGCUUCAGUCAGACCAAUGCCACCAAGAAUGAGGGACCGCACUGACGAACAGCUUUUGAGGAGAUUAUAUUGUUUGUCCGAAUGAAUCCUUUCGUAACUGGAAGGAGGCAUUGGUUGAAUGGGAAUAUGUAAGUGCCUAAUCUGUUUUGGAGACCCAAACGACUGGUUGUUGUCAUACAUAUAACAUUCGAACCUCAUUAUCGAAAUUGCAAGGUCAUGAACGAGAUCAUGCAUUUUACAGGUCACAGUGCCAUCAUGAUAUUCAGUAACAUCUUGAAAGAAGGACCUCCAAGUUAACUCGAGGAAUAUCUCAUCUCCAAUUUCACGCAACUCCCUACGUCCUCUAGAAGGAACAAAUCCAUUUGCCAUCCAUAACUCUAUCAACUGAGAUUUAUCCAUUUCACAAUCUUUCGGGAAUAUCGAACAAUACGCAAAGCACUGCCUUAAAUAUGAUGGUAGAUUGUCAUAACUUAAUCUCAAGGCAGGUAAAAUGCCGCUCCCGUCAUCCGGUAACUCCCAGAUCUCACUUUCUUUAACAGAUAGCCAGUCACUUUCUCUACGCUUUAACCGCAACAUGCUUCCAAGAGCUUUUACAGCCAAAGGAACCCCUCCACACUUCAGAACAAUUUGCUUUCCAAUUCUUUCCAAUCUCGAGUAUCCCUCCUCGCUUUCCAUCAGAAAAGAACGCUGCUUGAAUAGUAACCAAGAAUUCUCAUCCGAUAAAUAGUCCAAAUGGUAUAUGGGAAGAGUAGCCAUGAUGAGAGCAACUUUCUCGAUCCGGGUUGUAACUAUGACCACGCUGCCUUUUGCUCCAACCUUCAAUGAAUUCCUAAAACCAUCCCACUUUUCAUAGUUUUCAUUCCAAACAUCAUCUAAUACGAGAAGAAAUCGCUUCCCCCUCAGCUUUUCUUGCAAGUAUCGUUGCAGAGGGUCGAGCUCCUUGAUAUCACAAGGACUACCAUCAAUGGACUCAAUAACUGCUUUUAUCAACCUUCUGACUUCGAAAGCAUCGGAUACACAUACCCAAAUCCUCAAACCAAAACCCCUUUCAACCCUUUCAUCAUUGAACACCAGUUGAGCAAGAGUAGUCUUUCCAAGUCCACCCAUACCACAAAUGGCAUAAAUGGACAAAUCAUUUUGAUCCAACGAACUACCGAACAACCCGUUGAUUACGUUCUCUUUAUCCUCAUUUCUUCCCAAUAUUUCAGAUUCAUUGACCAGCGAGCUAGUUAAUCGCCAUUCCCUAUCAUCAAUUUCUAAAUCCCCAACUUUUUCAGUCAAAUGGAAUUUGUUUUUCUCCUCUGCUACAGCAUCUAACCGCUGCCUAAUUUGCUUAAGUUCAUGAGCCUUCUUGAAAGUAAACACAGUGGAAUUUUUAAAGGAAAAGAAAUCACUUACUUUGCUGCUCAUGUUUUCUCGAGCUUUCCAUAGGAAAGCUUUUGCAGCAAACUCGUCGAGUAAAUCAUCAGCAUCAUAAGCGAUAUCCUUGAGUUUUCUGAGCCAAUUCCUGACGGCCUCACUCCUCCAUUGUUUCUGCUCUGCGUCUUGAAGCACGGCUUGAAUCGUACUUAAAGUGCUCCCGAGAUCUUGAAGGUCGGUUUCCAAAUUACUUGCGAUUUCAAAUUCACGAAGAGCUAGAGAAUUGAGGUUCCCUAAGAUGGUACUCACAAGGGAAGAAACAAAAACAUCUGCCAUGGACACCCCGGAGAACUCAAAAGAUUCAAAUGAAACUUAAGAGAGAAUAAAAGAAGAACGAUUUGAGGGAAGCAAUGGAGCUUAGAAACAAAAGUAAUGAAGUAAAAGCUGCAGAGAAUUAGGAGAGAAAUGCAAAGAAGAAAUGACUGGGGAAAAAAUGGAAUUGAUUCGUACAUGGAAUUGGAAGUCUGGUUGACUGCUGACUGAGUUGACUCAGGACAUGAUUAAGGAGUAAUCGGAAAUUUACGUGAUAUUUCUGCCUGACCUUUUUUUUUUUGUAAAGAAAUUUAAUUGAGAUAAAUAUGAAUUGACGUUGUUUAGUACGAGCAGAGUUGGAUGCCCCUAUUUAUCUGAAUUUUAUCAUCAACCAAAGGAGGAGUAAAAUGGAAUAUUUUUAUGAAAAUGGAAAAGCCUUUCAUCAGAUCAACUAAAGAGUCAGCAAGAGAAUGUCUUUCUAGGUAUUUGCUUAAAUAGCAUUCUUCACUUAUGUUUGUACAAUUAUUGGAUUUGCACAAUUAAAUCCAUGUUUGCAUGUUCUCUAUUAAUAUCUUUGAUAUUUAGACCACAAUCAGUCUCAAUAACAACAUUCACCCAAUUGGCUUUUCAAGCUACUUAGAGUCUAUCGUAAAUAGCCCAAAGCUUAGCUUGUAGCACACUAUAUCUCCCAAUGUUCCUUCCUAUUUCCCACAUCCAUCCACCAUACUCAUCAUGUGCCACUGCUGCAGGUUGCAAGCACCACAUGUAUUCAGUUUAAAGAAACCAAUGGAUGGUGGUGCCCAUCGAAGCACAUUACUUUCUCCUAAUUUGACCAAUCUCUGCUUGAAUAAGUUCACUUACUACCACGAAGAAAGGAUUACAUUACCUAUGUCAAAAGAAUAAUCUUAGAACAUGCAAAGAUCAAAUUGUCUUGACAUUGUUAAAAAAUAAGAGAUGCUGAAUUUCAACCAUUCAAUUUUUUAUUUUUUUUUUGAAAUUUCAGGUUGUUGAGAUUUUCUGCAAAAUUUGGGAAGAUAAAGAAUGGUUAUACAUAAUAAGAAUAUAAUUGCCAAAAGAAUGAAAGUGGGUAGAAUAUGAUUAGGUAACUUCAACACACUUGCUGCUUGUAUUGAAUUCCCGCGUUUCGAGAAUGCCCCAUCUUAUGGUGUACAAAACAAACAGAAUUUUGAAAAUGAGUGUAAUAAUUGUUUAUAUAGGAGCUUUUAAUGAUUCUCCAUAUAUUACCAUUCUAGCGAAUCGUGUAGUCAAUAAAAGAUUAUCUAAUUUAAAUUAAAGGUGUUUAAUGGGUUGAUAUUGGUAAUAAAAUAGGAAGAUUUGAACUAUGAUUUACACAAAUUACAAAAAAAGAUGCAGUGACAAAAUUAAAGAAGAUUUCUCCAACAAUGCUAGAAAAUAUGAUUUUUAUUAUGCUCAUUUUUGCAUCCAACUUAUUUAUAUGAUCAGGAAUAAGUUUACUUACAAACAUUUAUAACAUUACAAAAAAGCAUAUUUUUUUAAAUAAAAAAAAAAGUAGUAGUUUACUGCUUUGUAAAAUUAUUAUUAUUUCAAAUAUGUUUCCUAAUUAUCAAAAUAAUUAUUAAUUAAAAUACACCAUAAAUUGAAUCCCUAGAGACCGUGAAAUAUAAUAGUUUUAAGGUAUAUAAUACAGGCAUUACAUUGAAUAUUUAACCACUCCAUGAAAUUAAUUUAUUUUAUUAUUAUAUUUACAAUAUAAUUGUUUUUCUUAUUUGCCAAAUGCCCCAUAUUAGACUAUAUGAUAUGACAUCACUGAAUUUAUCUCCGCAUUUACUCCAAAUUCAUCAUAAAUCCAAUAUUCAUUUUCUUUACUAUUCCAUUUUCAAAUAUUGUGAUUUCAACCAAAAGAUCAAAAAUAGAGGUUUUAUUAGUAGGACUAUAUAUGAUGACAUCAACACUGGGCUCUGAUCAGGCCUAAAAUUAAAGAAAAUUGCGCAUUUCAACCAAGAGUUCAUAGUCGAACCAAAUUGAGUUCAUAUCAAGUCUAUGUAUGACAUCCACAAUGGGUUGAGAUGCUCACAAUAGGUUAGGAUAGGGUCUAACAUGAAAAAAAAAACGAAAAAAGAGUGAAUUUCAACCAAAAGGUCAAAGUAGAGAUGCUCAUAAUCAUUAAGUUGGGUUCAAAUCAGGUCUAUAUAUAUAAAUAUCAACUGUGAGAACAUUUACUACUAAGAAAUAUUUUAUCAAUGUCAUAUACAACACAGUGCACACUGCAUUUGACUACAAAAGUCAAAAGACAUGAUCCCUUUCUGUUCUAUCACAAGUGAGCACAAAUCCGAUUAUUCAUUGACAUAGAAAGACCAGCUCGGUAAGUGGUGGAAAAAGAAAUUUAACGAAACAAAACCGAAACUCCCUCAAUUCUUGUGCUGCAUUCUCCCACUUUCUGCACCGGCAAAGGGAUCGAUUAUCACAUUUAUCACAACCGGCUUCCUUGCAGAGAAGGAUUCAGAAAGGGCAGAUUUUAAUUCGUCAGGUGUCCCGACAAGGUAACCCUUUCCCCCAAAAGCUUCGAUUAAAGUAUGGUAAGCAGCACCAGGAACAAAGGAAGUGGGCGCAGGGUCAUCUUUGAAAGGGCCACUUACUUCUUCAGGGCUCCUUCGGUCACCACCGUAAACACCACCGUUGUUAAAGACUAUCACAACAACAGGCAACUUGUAUCGAACCAAUGUCUGCAUUAUAAGAACAGCAUAUUUAAAAGAUAAACAAAUACAUAAAGCACUUCAAUAAGCAAAAGGCAUUUGUAAGUCAAACAACAUAAAGAGCGUUUAUAAUUUGGACGAUUUUUAAUGCACCUCUAAAAUUUAAAAUAAGAACAUAGAAAACAUGACACAUCGAACAAAAUACAAAAGAGAAAUGCUCUUCAUUAAGUUAUUAUUGAACACCCAGCUUUCAGCAGACUACUUUUCUACUAAUCCAUCAUGAUACUCACCAGGACAUAAACAUAAAUAUGCAUGCAUACACAUACUUAAGACACAUAAGUACAUACUUAUGUGAUUCUGGGUGUGGGUGGGUAUGUGUGAGAGACAGAGAGAAAGAAAUACGGGACUCAUAUACAAGAAACUGUGAUACAAUCCACUAAUGAUUUCCGAAUCCUGAGAAAAGUUCCCAUAUUCAGUUCAACAUUAUAUUAAAGAUGCUAAUCAAAAUUUUCUUUCACAAUUCGGCUAACUUGAUCAACAAGGAAUUUUUGCCAACAAAAUGAAACAAAGAUAAGUUAUUAUAGCCCCUAAGAAACACCAUCAUCUCUACCUUAGGCAGCAUUAGAUUUAGUUUCGUCAAUAGAAACAAGAAAAUUAGUUCAAUAUUCCAGUUAUCAGUUCAAGCCAAUUUAGAUUGAUAAACAACAGGAAGUGUAAUAUCAAACCUCCUGCUGAAACUAAAAGAAGUAACUACAAAUAAAUCAUAUCAUCCUAAAUCAUCAAAAUAGCAUUCACAUUCUAUUUCUUCAUGAGUAAGAGCAUUAAACAUAACAGACUUCAGAAUUAAGAUAACAAAUUUAAUUAUGCAAGUGACGCUUUAACAGUAAAUAUUAGAAAAUAUACCUCAACCUCCAUAGCACUGAACCCGAAUCCCGAGUCCCCUUCGACUGCAACCACAAGCCGUUCUGGAUUAGCCACAGCAGCGGCAAUGCAAUAACCUAAACCAACUCCCAUUGUCCCCCAAGUCCCUGCAUCCAACCUAGUCCUAGGCUCGGUCUGAACCAGCACAGACCUUCCAACAUCCAUAGUAUUUGCCCCUUCUGAAACCACCACCGGAGCUGGACUCCCAACCCCCAAAAUAGCAUCUCUUAUAAUCCUCAUAGGAGUCAAAAAGUUAAACGGCACAACAUCUUUCGCCAACUGAGCUUCCAUUUUCGACACAUUAUCCUUCACCUUCUUCGAAAUAGCCUCCACCCAAGGAUGAGACUUUCCCAAACAAAAAGGGUCAUCUUUAAUCUCCUUAUUAAUCAUCUCCAAAACCUUCUUAGCAUCCCCAACUAAACCUAAAUGGGGUUUUCUCAACUUAAUCUCUUCUUCAGAAACAUCCACUAAAAUGAACUUCACAUCUUUAUCCCAUUUAGGACUCUCCCCAAAGUGCAAUAACCAAUUGAGCCUUGCCCCAACAACCAAUGCAACAUCACAUUUGCCAAUGGCGAGUGACCUUGCAGCACUGGCGGCCAACUCAUGAUCGUCGUUCACCAGCCCUUUACCCAUUGGAGUUGGCAAAAAGGGGAUUCCCGUUCUUUCAACCAACUUUUUUAGUUCCCCUUCAGCUCGGGCAUAAGCCGCCCCUUUGCCGAAAACAAUCAAUGGCCUUUCCGCCUUCCUCAACACACUAACCGCCUUUUCGAUUUCAGAACUCGGCGGUGCUUUUGUUGCUUCAAAAACCCUUCCUUUCUCGACCUCGGUUAACAAUUUCUCAGCUUCGGAUUCAGUUAUCGUCUGAUGUAAUACAUCAGUCGGUAAAUCCAAAUAACACCCACCGGGUCGACCCGAAACUGCAGGAUCCAAAACCCUAGCAACACAAUCGGGAAUUUCCUUGAUAUCUAUGGCUUUAACAGAGAAUUUCGAAAAGGGUUUCACUGCUUCGAUCUGAUCAAGCUCCUGGAAAUCUCCACGACCGGAAUCCUUCUGAUCGGAGGAGCCAGAGAUCAUGACCAUGGGCCAGGUGUUGAUCAUAGCAUUGGACAAACCGGCCAGGCCGUGGACGCAACCGGGCCCGGAAACAGUCAAGAGAAGACCGGGUCGGCCCGUGAGGUAGCCAUAAGCAGAAGCCGCAUAACCAGCGGAUUGUUCGUUGUGAAAAGCAAUAAAACGGAUACCCAAUUGGACUGCACGGUUGGCGAGGCCAGUAACGGGGAUACCCACGACGCCAAACAUGUGGGUGACGCCGAAACGGGCAAAGGACUUGGCUGCUAAAACAUUGCCGUCUAAACAGUCCGCCAUCUUUUGUUUUAUUGUUGAUGAACUUUUGUUGUGGAUGAAACUUUUGAAGUGAGAAUGGUUUAUAAAGAAAUUAUAAAAUUACAGCGAACUAACUUCCAAAAUAGAAAAUAACAAUGUAAUCAAGGAAGAAAGUUUGACCAUUAGAGCUAGAGUGUUAAAAUGGGAUUUUGGUUGGAUUUAAAGAGGUAGCGUGGUAGUAGAGACAAGAGAGCUGUAUGUAUCUAAUUUUCAAAGGGAUGGAGUGGAGGAGCUGUAUCUGUUAAUAUUUUGUGACUCAUUUCUUGCUCUUUUAUUGAAUUUGUUUUCUACUUUUUCUUUGUGUGUUGAUUAUAAAUGGGACGGUAUGAGCUUUAGACUCGACCCACCUUCCAAAUUGAUCUGAUGCUUUUUGUACAGGGUUAAGACAGUGGGUGAAUUUCUAGUGGUUAAAGCUUAUUCAAAUCAGUCCUUUUUUAAGUAUGGUUUUCGGCUUUUCAAUCCAAGAUUGUUAUGCACUCAACUCUAACUCUCACAGAUUCUAUUAUGAGCUCUAAAAAGGUACUUAUAUCAAUAUUUUUCAUAAAAAAGUAAAAGAAAUUUUGGUGUGAGUUUGGGCUUUGAUCUUGUUUGGUUCCACUUUUGGUUUUAUGCUUCUUUUCCUUGUGUUGCCUUUUGAUGCUUGUGUGAGAUCCUUAAUCUUCUUUUUGAAUGAAUAAAUGAUUCAUAUGCUGUCAAAUCUAAGUGAUUAGAUUGGUGGGUUUUGUUUAAAAAAUAGAUUAAUUAAAUGAAGACAUAUAAAGGAAAGAUGAAAGAUGUUAAAAUUUGGACCUAAUCGAUUCAGUACAGCAAAUUUGGGAUUAAUCAAAUUAAAGAAAAAUUAUUGCAAAUGUUAAAUUUUAACCUAAUUUGUACAAUCGGAUGUUAAUUGAGGGAGGUCGCAUCUGUUACUUCUUUAACUUUUCAAAUUUGGGCGUCGGCUCUGAUAUAGCAAAUUUGCUCUUUGGUUUGACCGAGAGUGUCGCCAUCACGCACUACUAAACCUAUUUAUGGAUUCUUUCAAAAUUAUGCUCAAAUUCGUAUCAUUAACUCAAAUAAUAAUUUUUUUUUUAUCAUUUAUUACUAUUAUUUUUAAGAUUAAUUUUUAUUUGGAAAAAAGCAGCUUAAAUUUGACAAAUUUCUAAUUUCGACUUUUUAGACAUUUUCAUUUUUGUUACUCGAAUGAAAAAAAAAUUAAUUUAAUCACUACUGUUACAAUAAUUUAUCAUUCUAAUCGUUUAUCUUUUCUGAGUAAAAAAUUCUGAUAUGACAUUACCUAAUUCUUUUAAUCUAUUUUUUUCCGCAUAAACACUCAAUUGACAGGGUAAAAAUUGGUUGAAGGCUAAAAAUAAAAAACUAAGGCAUCUAAAAUUUUAAUCGAAAAAACCUCAAAAAAAAUAAAUUUAGGUUUAAAACCUCAAAAUUAAAGGAAUCGAUUAGGGUUUGAAUCGAAAGUAAUCAAAUCGAGGGUUUAGAGAAUUAGUUUGAUAGUUUAGUUGUUGUCUAUUAUUAUAUUGGUGUUCAAGAUUUGUUUGUAACAAUCAUUGGGUCACAAUGAAUGUGAAGAGGAGUCAACCGAGUUUGAAAUCAAGUGCUACAUCUGUAAUCAAAGCUUGGGAUGAAAGAUUGGGAAUGGUUGGAAGGGCUGUUGGGAUGGUAUUUGAAGGUGAAUGGGAAGAAUAACCAUGAAUUUAUAACUGAAUUUUCAUUGAUCUGCUUGUAGUUAUCACUUCUUCCUCUGAUUCCGCAACAUCAAAAGGAUUUUAAUACUAUUAAAAUGCUAGUUGUUUAAAAUCAGCUAAAGAAACUCCAAUAGCACACUAGGAUUGCAUUGUGUAACUCCAUUUCUAGCCGUUUUAAGUUUCAAUUUUGUUCCCCUAUUCUCUUUCCUUAAAGGCAGACAAUAAACUUAUGAAAAAAACAAUUUUGAGAUUAGAGUUUUAACACAGUAAAAAUAGGAGAUAAAUGGAUUUAAAAUUUUUAUAUAAUUACAUGGAAACUAUCGUUCAAUUAAGAGUGAUUAUAUGGACCGUACAUGUCCUGUCACAUUAACCUCAAUGAGAACACAGAUAAGUGACUAAAUCGAUAAAUUAUUUAAAAGAUGGUAAUUGAAUUGAAAUUUUUUAUUUAAAUAAUUAAAAUUAAAACGCUUAAAAAAAUGUAGUUAAUAUCGAUAGACAAAUAUUGGCACACUACCUCAAGUCUGCCAUAAAAAAAUGGUCCUGUCAUUGCCGGUGUGUUGGUGGCUAUAUACUUAAAUUUUUCCCCGGACGAAGCCUUUGCAGCGGUCAAUAAUGAGCUUAGCAAAACCAAUAUUUUCUUUUCUUUAUUUGGAUAUUUGGGUGCCAAUAAUAUUUGUAUUCGAAUAUUAGAAUAAUCAUUUUAAAAAAUAAAUAUCAAUUCUCAAAAUACUCUUUAAUUGAAUCCACACAACUUAAUAGAUAUCUGACCAGCAAAUCCAGACCCAGAAGUGAUCUAACACCAAAUUCUGCAAGGGUAACCAAUGUUGAGCAGGAUAUGGACAUGGUUAUUGGCUCUCACUACCUCGUCAUCAUAGUCAUCCAUUGAGCAAGGCCUCUUCAACUAGGUUGAGUUUUGUGCUUUACCUGCUAAAACUCCAGGUGACCCACAUGCAUGACCAUGGUCAAAGUCAAACCGGUUCUCAUUACUCAGUAACCACAGCUUCGCAUUCAGAUAACACACUUGAGCUCCUCUUGCUUUGCUGUGAUCAACAAAUUCACCUAAAACUCCAUAGAAGAUGACCAUAAUUCCAAUGCAGGUAUCAAUUAUUUACAAUGUUCAAUACAAUAACAACGUUGAUAGGAUUCCACAUAUACAGCAGUAAUUUUCCUUCGCUAUUCACUCGAGUUUGAGUAGUAAAAUAAUAAUAUGUAGCAAAAUAUAAUCACAUGAAGCUCAAUUUAAACCCAAACUUAAAGUUCUUAUGACGACAGUCCGUGACAACAAAACCGCAAUGCCUGUAAGGGCAAGGCAGAAAAGGCAAUUGGUAAAGCUAAAGAAAAAUGUAACUAAAAUUCCUUUUAGAAACAUAUUACAAACUUGGAAAUUCAAUUGUAACAUUUUCAAGUGCCUAAGCAAAUCAUCAUAGUGAAACAGUAAAUUCUAACAAACAAAAACAACCAAAUCAAACCCAGCAUUUCUGAAUCAUUACUUCAUUAUGCAUCUUCGUCCCCUGCCAAACUGUGGUUCAUAUUUCAGGUUCAAUCCCCGAAAUAGUUACCAGGUUAUCUAUUUUGAAUAACAGCCAUGUCUGUAAAUGAGAAACUUUAAGGAUCCUGCUCCUCAUUUUGAUUUGGUGAAGCAGGAACUUCCUCGUUUCCGUCAUUUUCAACAGGUUGAUCAGAUGGAGGGGGUUCUUCGUUUCCACCAUUCUCAGGGUGGAAAUUUAUGGGGAACUUUGUCACCCUGGGCUUAUCAGAUAGAAUAUUUCUUUGGACUUUCUCAAUCAAGACCUUUGGGGGAGGCUCCUCUCUAAGCUGCUCAUCAUCAUAAUCAUUGUUAACAUAGUAGCCGACUCGGAUAAACUCUUGGCCAAGAUAUGAACAAGUCAGGAGAAGCACUGUGACACCUAUAAUAUCUUCUUCACGGAUCCUUGAUGGGUCUGGCGGGUCUGCCUGUGACACAUUCAAGGACAAAGGUAAGAAUUUAAAACAAACACAUCAAAUCCGCAACUAAAACUGAGUUGGUUGAGAUUGCCUGUAGUACAAAACGGUAAUUUCCAACAUUGACAGGUCCAACAAGUACACUCUCCAGUAGUUGAUCGUAAGUCUCAUCUUCUGCAGAUCCGACAUAGAUAAGUUUCCAUUCUAAAUCUGCAACCCAAUAAAACAUGAAUAUAUUUUAAUCUCGAAAAAAACAUGAUGUCAAGAAAAACAUAGUAUAACUCAGUAAUCACGUAUGGGUGGUAAAGUCUUAUAUUAAAUUAAUACAAACACAUCCAUAAUCCAUUCAUGAAUGAUAAAAUAAAUUUAGAGUUAUUGUCUUCAAUGUCAGACAAAAGUAAAACAGAAGCAACCGUGAUAGAAAUAUAUCCAUGUCUUAAACUCAAUUUCCAAGUCCAAGCAACAUUCACAACUAAAACAUACAAAAACAGGUGUCCGAGCUGAAAAGCUGCUCUUCUACACAGAAUUGGCAUUCCACAUAUUUCUUUGUUCUAGAAACUUUAGAAUGCUUUUGUGCAAGUUGACUAUUAGCAACCCAUUCCAUGUAAAUCCGUUAGUCAAUAACUUAGGUUCUAGCAUAAAUUGUAUCAAAAUACACAUAAAUGUAUCCCUAGAAUGCUAAAAUUCUGUACCUCUUCUCUUUAGGGUGUUCUUAUAGGGUCAUUCAAUGGCCUUCCACUGGAAAUCAAAGGGCAAAAUGCCGAAGCCAAUUAACUAGACAAUCAAAUUAAGCAAACAUAAAAGGAAGCUUCAUUGACUAAAAGGAAAUUUGCUUUACAAAGUAAAACAAAAAUUCUUCUUUCUUUUCUUCUUCAAAACAAGGAAAGCUAAAUAUAUUUUCCAACUAACAAAAAGCUUAACUUUCUACAGAAAAGAAAAUACAACAAAUUCCCACUUCUUUGUUUCAUUCUUUAAAAAAGAAAACAUACGAUAUAAACUCGUAAAACCAAUAUAUGCAAUCAAAACUUGCAAGUGAAGAUCAAUUUAUGCCUGACCCAAACCCUAAACCCACAAUUGUACCACCAAUUAACUAAAUAACCUUAUUCAAGCAUACUAAAUCUUUUUUCUUCUUGUCCUAACAUUUUUCCCAUUAAUCAAAGAGGGAAAAACACAAAACAAAAUAUCAUAGCCUUGACCUCAAGCAAACCCUAAACCUAAAAAAGAGAGAACUUAAAAACAACAAAUGAAAUCUUAAAAGUAUUCAAACCACAAAAAAAAAGGUGUUUCAGAAAGAAAGGUACCAUCUUUAAGAGGAGUCAAACACUCGUAGGAAAUCUCGAACUGAAAAGCAGACAAGAAGGAAGCUGGGUUAUCCAAAACGGUAACAUUAGUAAUGUUGACGGCACUCAUUGUCUCGAUUCAAAGAAAAAUUAGAGUAAUUUCUAGCCGAUUAAUCCAAACCCCAGCUUCUCGAAAAUUCAUCGAACUUCAAGUAAAAACCUAAUGUAAAAUAAACAAAUAAAAGCCAGAAAGUUCAGAAUAUUAAAAGAAAAAAAGAAUCAACGGCGAGAAGAACAGGUUUUAGGAAAAUUUAAAAAAAAAAUUCAGUGGGGGGUUUUGAGAUUUUGGGGAUUUGGAGCUUGAAAUGAACUUAAAAUAAAAUUGGAAUUGAUGGAUGGAUGGAUGGAGUUCGGAAGAAGAAAUAAAAGGAGGGAAAAUGAUGGAAAUGGUGAUUUGGGGGCAAAAUAAAAUAAGUUUAUUUUUUGUAUCAAAAAAGUAAUUAAUUAAUUAUUUAUUUAUUUAGGGCAAGUGGGAAAGCUGUCCAAAGGUGUAUGGUGAAAAGCGGGUUGUCAAAUUUGGCGGGAGUUUGGAAUGUAUGAAAGAUUAAAAACAAGAUGGAGGAUGCCAUCUAUGUAAAUAAUAAUUAAAAUAUAAUGCUAAAUAUUACAUUGAAAUUUAUAUAACAUAAUUAUUAAUAUAUUUAAGUGUUUAAUGUUUUUUUUUCUUUUCUAUCGAGAGUUUUUUUCAAAAGAAUAAGGUUUUAACUUUGUGUGCUUAUUUUUUUUUAUCUUUCAAAUUGUUUUAGAAUAUUUUUUUAUUUGCGAAUUAAUCAUUUUCUUUUGUUUUCUCUUCAUCUUUUUGUAUAGUUAUUUUAUUUUAUUCGCAAAUGUUCAAGAAAUAAUUAAGAAAGAAAAAAAUUUUCAAGAACUGAUUAUGAAUACAAUGGACAUAAAUUUCAAACUCGAACCAUUUUGAUGCAAAUCUAAUGCUUUCGAUAAAGCAAAAGAUUUUUCCUUUGCUUUUGGAAGCUUUAUGUUGUUUUUUCAGCUCUAUUUCUUUGUUUGGUUUUGGGUUUCAAUUCAUUGCAAGAACAAGUGAUAUCACUAACAAAGUAAGGUUGAUUAUAUGAUGGCUUUAAGUAUGGUGUCUUAACUUCUCAAUCCAAGAUACUCAUGCAUAAAGCUCCAUCGAUCAUGGGGCAUUGUGUCUUGAAUUUAUGCUCUUUUUGCUUGUUCGUUUACAAUGUCUGAUUUGUCUUUUGAUCUUGAAUGACGUUCUUCAACAAGAUUAAUACAAUGUGUUUUAAGAUUUUGAAGCGUUUUAAAUAAUUAUUUGUGUCUUUUUUAUAGAAUAAUUUAUCUUGUCUAUAGAGUUAUAUGACUGCCUAAAAUAGUCAAAUGUAAGCCUUGAAAAAGGUUUAAUAUAUACUGGACUUAACUAGCUUACAAGUGUAAUCAUUUAAUUUAAGUAGUGUUAAUGUCAAAUCAAACUCAAGCUCGGCCUUAUAAAUAAUCUUAUAAACCAUCAAACUUGAAGACGAGUAUGAAAAUUAUAUUUCUUUUAUACUAAUUAAUUGAGUAUAAUUCUUACACUAUAAACUAUACUUUAGGAUUAUAAUUUUUACAUAUCGUAACACAAGCAAAUACUAGAACUAGGAAGGAAAACAUAUAUACACAAACCCGAAAACAGUUGUCAUCGUUGGGCCGUCACAUCCAUCUUUCGAGUCUGCGAAUGAAACAUUUCAGCUACAUCUGCUGCCGUGCUACAUUCCUCGGGGUUCCGAUCUGUAACCAAGCGAAUGAACCUAGGAAAUCUUAUUGAGAUGCCACGCGACGGAUGAACUAAUCCUAUCGCAGCCUGAUGAACCGGUGAUACGGUGAAGUCCGCACCUCUUAUUUCCCAAAUAAGUUCUGGAGAGAACCACAUAUCAGGCACCUCAGCUGUUUGAUAGUAAGCUGGCUUUUUGGCUAAGAUCCUAUCCCCCGCAUAGAACUCUUUCAUCUGAGCUCAAUAAAGAAAACCAAAUAACUCUUUUAGCAUAACUUACGAAGUUUAGGGUAACAUGAACAAGAUGAAAACAUGAAAACUUGAAACUUGUAUGCACAGGGCAAUGUUUUACUAGAUAUAUUGCUCCAACUCUUCAAUUUUCUCUAAGUACACCUGUCCAACGCAUAUCCAACAUGGGUAUAGGAAUACAAUCCACCAAAUAUAUGGAAAAACUUGGAUAAAAAAAAUUUAAACGGACCCAUGUCAGACGCAGAUUAAUACUCUAACACUUGCUUCCUAGUCUAAGUAACAUAAUAUAGGUUAAUAAUGGUAGGAUCCGUGGAAAGAAACAGGAAAAGUCAUGUCUGGUUUCUUGAAGGGACUAUCAAAAACAGUGAUUUGAACAAGAAACAAGUACACUAUUUAAUAGUAUUAUGCCCAUUACAUCAAAUCUCAGAGCCAUUCUCACUUUUCUACCGUUAGAAAACUGAAUCAAAUGUACUCCAAUAAGUUGCAAAACAGAUGAGCUCAUUGUUGCAAUCUUAACUAAGCCUACAUCGAAAAGAUCUAAAGUUCAGAAUAAAAAUUAUUUUCAUAUAAAACAUAACCAUGUGUAAGUUUAAGUUCAGUGCUUGAAAGAUUUAACGCCAUAUCCUUGGUAACAUGAAGAAAAAGUGCACUUUCUAAAAUACAAACAUCACCAACAUCCCACUUUACCUCUUUGUAAAAUGAAUCAGAGAAUCCAGACAUAACACGACAUACACUUUGAAAAUCUUCAGUGUCUGGGUUGUAGCAUGCCAUGAGGAAGGGGCUGUACCUGCUAGAAACACGUAACAUACAUAAAAGCAUGAAUUAGAACAGAAAGGAUUCACAUUGAGAGCCUGUGGCAACGAAAUUCAGUGUAAUAAAUAUCACUUGAUUUGAUUUCAAUCAUCUAUAACAUUUUCUUAGAUAAUAUAUGAACAUACUUCAUAAAAUGCAAAUCACUCCUCUUUCACUUGAAUUCAAUUCUACAUGCUUGCUAUACAUCGCAGCUGUUAAAACAUCAGGUCUCUUAGAUCACAGGUUAUUUAUCGAGUGAUAUAAAAGUUUACGUUUUCCAGUGUCACCAGGAUCAUUUCAGCACACCUAGGGUUUUGUAAGUUAUUAGGUCAAUGUUCAGAUGAUUCCAAGCGUCUCUAGGAGCUUAUAUUUAUUUUCUUGAUGCCUAUCAGUCAUUUACCUACUUACUAAUUUGUUUUGCAUAUGCAAUUCCAUCCUAGUGAGUUUAGGAGGGGAUGGUAUUUGAUCAAUGGAACUCUAUCUCUUUUUGCAGUUUCUUCUUCUCCUAGUAACUUCUAAGUGUCAACACUAAGCCCCUGAAACCCAUGUAGGCAAUCAUGCCAAACAGCAUUGUCAAGGAUGCAAGGCAAAGACAUAGGCCCGAUCAAAUGCAACAAAGGGUCCAAGGGGCUUUUUUCGACUAGUGCCAAGGCGCAAGGCAUAGGCAUGUCUGAUCAAAUGCAACUUGCCCAAAAGGUAUGAGGUGCUUUUGUUGUCUAGAGCUAAACACAAAACUUAGGCAUGCAUCCGAUCAAAUGCACCUUGCCCAAAAGGAUACAAGGUGCUUUUGUUGUCUAGUGAUAAGAUGUGCCUAGGUGCACACCUUGACAACACUUAUCGCAGAUGUGCACAACAUCAAAUAUCUGUUGGGCAUGUUACAUAUGCAUAUACAUAUACAUAGGGUCAUUCAUUACCAUCCCGCUUUUCUUCCAUUGCCAUGCCAAGCACCAAUUGGGACUAAAUCAAGGGAAUCGCUUAAUCCUUCCACAUAGUCUCGCUUCACCUAAGAGAGAACACCAAGCAAUCGGAUUCAAUAUUUAGUUCUCUUCCUAUUUCUGAGCAGUUAAAUGAUUAAAAUGUUCAAGUAACCACAAAACCUUUAACCAUGUAUCACUACGUUUUGACAGAAGGUAUCCAGCAUCAAUAUCUAAGGCUUUAACCAUAAUUCCUUCACAUGAGAACUGCAAUGCAUCUUCAAGAAAAGAGUUUAUAGUAAAUGUGGCCUCACUGGUCAAACAAGCAUCAUCUGCUUCCACCUAUUUAGCAAGAAAUCAUAAACAAUACCAAUCAGUCCUAUGUUGCUCUGACUCAUUUUUCUUGAAGUAUCCAUGUCUUGACAUAUAUUGGUAUAUGUGAGGAGAUAUAACCUUUCAAGUACCCUCCAAAUACAUAAAAGAAAUUUGAAAUAAGUAAAUAAAUAUACCUGUGCCAGACACAGGACAAAUAUCUGACAUUGACAUCCAAGCUAAUAACUAAAAAAUUGUAUUCUGUAAACAAGGAAAGCAGAGAGGACUUACUAUGAUUUCUUUUGCAUAUUCAAAAUGACCCAACUUCUCAUCAUGAAACAAAUCCUUCAAACCUAAAGUUUUUUAGCAUGAGAGAAAAGAUCAAACUUACAACUCACAAGAGUUUGAUAAGAGGGACUUUGAAAUAAAUUAACCUGAAAAAGAAAAAAUUGUGGGAGGGGAAAGGCAUACAUUUCCUUCUUUGGCGUAGAGGAACACCUAGCAGCCUGUAAUGGAAAUUAUAUCAUUUUUUUUUUAAUUUUAAUGAAAUAUAAGAAAACAGCAACAAAAAUAAGAGGGACAACUAUUUGUAAUUUAAGAUUUAUUUCAGACACAGAUUUACAGCUACAUGAAGAUCUACACUCUAGUCUUUGUUCCAGAAAAAAAAAUGCUUAACUAUAACAAUAGCCAGAUUUUAGGUGAUUGACAUACAACAGUAUAUAUUGAUAAAAUCGUAUGACUUUCUGUAUGUAACAGAAGUGAGUGAAUACUUAGGUUACUAGCUAUGUUACUCAGACUAAAAUGUGAGUGUUGGAUACAAGUAUGCAUCACACACAGGGAUGUUCAAUCUAUUUAAGUUAUUCUGUGUAUUUGGAGGGUCCUUAGAGGGUUAUAUCCCAAUACCCAGUCCAAAUAAACAUUGGGCAUGAGUGUUGAACACGGAUACUUAAGAAAAAUGAAGAGUAGUAGUAACAUAGGUUUCCAGAACUUAUGCUUCAGUUGCUCAUUAUCUUUCCCCUUUAAUAAAAUUAAUGGUAAUACUGUCAACUAACUCUUCAGUUUUCUCACUUAAAACACAGAAGUAAAUGCGGGGAUAAUAUUUCAAUUGCACUAACCAAUCUCUAUCACAUCAGAAAGGAAUUUAAAAGCAGUGAUAAAACUCUUAUACUAAUUGCUCAUAAAUCCCUAUGUCACAGGGACACUCAAUAGCAUUUGCAAGGUCCUCUAGUGAAGGAAUAAGCCAGAGCAGCAUAAAGUCCAUUUUAAAUUAUGCAGAGAGAGAUAUGGCACUCAAGUCAUUUAAUUUAAAUGAAGUAGAUUGAAAAGCAGUUGAAAGCACAAAAUCUAUACCACAUCGGAGACGUGGCAACCUACUGGGGUAAUUAGAAGUUCAUUCAAAAGUUCUUUAUCAACAAGGAAACUUGGUUGUGGUCAAGUGAAUUCAUCAUGAUGACAGAAAUAUAAUGUGUUAAACGAAUGCACUUUGAAGCCAAAAAAUCACUAGCUAAAUUUCCAUCAUUUAAUGAAUUUCUAUGUUACUCCAAUUCUUCAUCAUUGCUGAAGUACCCAUGUCCAACACCCUUAUCUGAUGCAUAUCUAGACAUAGGUAUAGGAAUAUGACCCUUUAAGGAUCCUCCAGAUACAUAAAAAACUUGGAUAAAAUUGAACAUACCAAUGUAGGACAAAUACCCAUAUCCAACAUCCACACCCAAGUUCAAGUAACAGAGAUGAAUUUCUAGCAUGCACUUCUGCAAAUGCAUGUUGUGAAUGCAAGAGGCAGUGAGGAAAGAUAUAAACUGAGAAUAAAUAUUCUAUUCUUAUUCAAUAUACUAAUUCCUUGCAAAGUUUGAUUCAUUACUAUUGCUCAUGGGAAAGCUCCUGUUUUUUGGUUCAUUCAUAGAAUCAGAAAACACUCCUGCUAUAACUUGUCCUCAAUUUUUUAGUCUAUAUAUCUAUAUAGAUAUAUGUCAAUAAAAGAACCUCAGAACAAUUCCAAGAGAGGGUUCAAGAUAUUUACUGCUGUCCAUUAGCAAACAUGAUGUCAAACACAAAUACGCAAAUAUUAACCUGCAAGUUACAAUGAUAUUAGAAAGAAACCUCCAAAUUUAACUUUAGGAUACAGGAAAUAAAAGUUGAACUUAUAAGAGAAGAUGAGUGAAUGUGAAAACUCUAUAUUCAAAGGGCCCCUAACAUCAGUUAGGAAAGCACAAGGGAAAUAGGUAUCUUUUAUAACAAUAAGUGAAACAGCUAUGCAGAUCCUUCAUGUCAUAAGAUUACUUUCAAUUCGCUUCAAUGCUUGAUGCUUGCAUCAUCAAACUUCCACAAAAAUAGUAAAUCUAAUCGUGUAAUAUUACAAAGUGAAAAUAAAGUGAACCUUUAUUUUGUCCACUGUGAUCAAAGAAUCUUUGCUUCCUCUUUCUCUUGAAGAUAAUUCUUGGAAGGACAUCAGCUUCUGACCAUUCUUCCUAUCAAUUGCAACUACCUGAAGCCACAACAAUAAACAGAAUUGGCAACACAUAAGGGUAUGUUCCAUCUAACAUAUUCUACAGCUCAGUUAAUUUUGCAAGAAUAACCAAAAACAACAACAACAAUAAUAAUAAUAACAAAGAAGCAAAUCUCAAAGAAGUAAAAGGCAAGUUGCCAUUAGACAAUCUCACCUCAGCAUCCAAUAUGAAAGUCUGGGCAGCAGGCUUAGCAGAUUCUUUAAUUGUAUUAAUUAAAUCUGGAAAUCUUAAUGUUGUUUCAUCCCCAUUUCGUGAAAAGACACGCACCGCUCCAUUAGCCAAUUUGUGAAUCUGGACACGCUGACCAUCAUAUCUGAAAAUUACAUGCACAGGAAAACCACUCAAUCAUACCCAACAUAUAAUAAAACUAAGAGAUGUGGAAGGAAAGUUAGAAAAUUCCAAGACCUGCCUUCGCAUCAGUUAUCCAACUAAUGUGAUUCAAGAAAAAACUCAACCACGUUGAGUGAAACAAAAGAAUAUGGUGGCAUACUAGGAAGGCAUGAAAGCUUCACAGUUGUUUCUUGCAAUAUCCCAAAAUAGCAAAGAAUACAAUUUUAAACUAGAGGAAAUGUGCAUGAUCCACACGGAGAGGGAGAGAAAAGAGCUUACUUAUAUUCACAUGUAAAAGCUUUGUUUUGAAAAAGCUUCAGUACUUCUGGAACCCCAUUGGUAAUUCUACAAUCAUGGAGAAUAAUACCACCCAUAGGCAACAGCAUUAGUACAAUUUGAUAUACAAUAAAGAUACAAAAGAGUGAUAUGUAUACAUACUUUGCAAGCAUGGGUUUAAUAGGUAUUCCCGGAACCAUUGACAAGGUUGAUGAUGAAAAUGCAAUACCUUCCUUCAUUAGUGAAGGAACAAGCAAAUCCUAUCCACAAAGCAUCAUCAGCGUAAAUGUACCAAAACAAACAUAUUCUAUCUUAUGCUGCUUCCAGAAGAAUGGAGAGAAGGAAAGGAAACAAACUGGCAUGUGAAAUAUGUUAUAAAGCAAAUGAAACAGACUCAAAUUUAUAAUUUAUAAGAACAAAAAGAUAUCAAGAGCAAAUUAACGCAUAUAUAAUUACAUUAAAGAAAAGCUACCACACAUAUUAUAUAUAAAAAUCUCAAAAGUGGGUAAGGUAAAUCAGGAACUUAAAAGAAAUAGAAGAAAAACAUAAAGUUGAAGAACUUUGAUAUAAAAUGUAUAGGCAGUUACCAAAUUUGGAAGUACAUUAUAUGCUUCGGUUACUGCUGUAGAAAGUUCCUGACAAGUAACCAAAAGAUCAAAUCACAAACAGAAACAAAUAAUCACUUGCACAGAAAACAAGCGAUGUUGAAAAUAGCAUUAUGCAUGUAGAUAAAUCUAAUAGAUACCUUUGGUAGUAGGACCUAAACAAAAAUUAGAUCAAACUAACACAAACAUCAAAAUAUUCACCACUUAACACCCCCCCUUUUUCUUUUUUUUCUUUUUUUCUUUUUUGGGGGGGGGGGUGGCGGCACCGGUGGGAGGUUAAAAGUUAAUCCACUCAUUGCUUUAAUACUUCUUAACCAUAAUGGCAUGAUGUAAACAUCAAGUCUUCAUAAAGAGAUCUACUAUUUCAUACUCUUCAAGAAAGAAAAAAAUUUUAUAGCUUAUGGUUUGUAUCAAACCUGGAGCUUUUCUUUUAGACAAUCUGCUGUCCCUUCAUGACAAAGAGCACGAGAGGAAUUCAUGACAACUGCUUGAGCCAAUGCAGGAAGAACAGUUUUCAUCAUUGCUCCUAUUCGCAAAUUCCUGACCUGUGUGUGCCAUAAUUUCAAAACAGAAGACAUUGCAGAGCAAGUCAAUGCUUGUACACCAAAUUAAGAACUGUGCCACAAGGAAUCCUUCAUUCACAUUCAUGAAGUCUACAACAAAUGCACAAAUUCAAAAAUCUUAACAUGCCUCCACGAAAAUUGCCAAAAAAUUUUAUUAUCGGGCACGUGAAGGUUGAUAGCAAUCAAGACAAUGAGCAGUAAAAAAUAUCAGCACAAGAUAGUGUUUGCCUUGAUCACAUCUACUACGAGAGAAGCAUCAAUUGGGGGAAUAUUAAUAUGAUAAGAUCUUGUCAAAUGUGCUAAACUCUAAUAUGAUAAUAAAGAAACUCACUAUCCAUGUUUCAGAAAAGAUAUCACCUAUCAAAAAAAAACAUUAACCUUCUGCUCUUUUCAUACUGUUGGAUACCAGAUAAUUACAUAAAUAAAAUCAAGAAUCACCUACAUAAGAUACAUACAAGAAAUAUCAUUUUUCAAAUCUUACCAAAGUUCUCACUAGAAACUUCAUCUCCUUCUCUCUACAUGAACGUAUAAGAUUCACGAUAAGGUUUUUCUUCCGCAUGGUGCUGCCACUGCCUGUUUGUACACUGAUAAAUGCUAUGUGAGGAAAAUGGGAAAAAGAGAAUAUACAUGACAAAGAUUAAAAUAAUACAAAACAAAAUGAUACGCAUAUUUCUCAAAUUUUAAAAUCAUACCAAAUGGAUACUAAUACAUGGAAAAAAUGAACUGAGUUUCUCUUAUUCGGAAAUAAGAAAUAAAGAGAACCUAUAUCAAAGGCUUGUUUUAGUCCAAGAAUCUAUAGGCACAAUCGUAUGCUUCUGGCACUCAAGUGACAUGAAUAACUAUUCAAACCAUUAGAUAUUUUAUAGCAAAAUAUAGAACAUGAGAUCACUGGGGACACAAUCUUUUGUCUUAUCAUCGACGAAGUGGUAAUAACAUUCUGCUUCUAAUCUAUCAAGUAAAUGAGAAAUCAGUUCUUAAUCUUAUGAAGAAAGAAAUAUUUUACAAGUUCUCAGUGAAUUUCUUACCAGCAAAACCUAGGCAUUAACCAAUUACUUCGAGUUCUAAGAACUGCAAAUUAUUAUGACACUCAUACUUUCCUACAUCUCUGGAAACAGAUCAGUAUCUAGUAAUGGAUUCAAUAUUUCAAUAAUUUUAUAAUCAUGUGUUGCUGCAGGAUCAAUACUGGGCUGAUCAUACCUUAUCUUCCAAAGCACAGAAUAUACAUCCCUAAUUAAUAGUUGUCGUGGAGGAGCAAGUAAAGUUUGGGUUUGUCGGCAUGCUUGUGCAACAUCACCUUAGACCAAAAAUAGGCGGUAAGAAGAUGCCAAAAGUUAUGGAUGAAAAAGACUAACAGAAAAUGGAAAUUUCUGAAUGGAAUUAUCUGCUUCUACCAAGAUCACCCAUGUCAUUGUACAUAUCCCUUAUUUUUGAACGGUUAGUCCCACAAGCUUCUUCCAGUGCAGAUGUAACCAAACUACCGCCAAUAUUCAAUUCCUGCAUCAUUACUACAGCAUGAAUGCAUCUUUUCCUUUUCAGCUAAUCUCUAUUAAUAUUCUGUUUCUUAUUUGUUAAGCAACCUCAAUAUACAAUCUAAAGGGGAAAUUAUCUUUUACGGAAUAGAGAGUAAGAAUCAACUACUGCAUGAAACAACAAAAGGAAGAUACAGACAGGAGAACUGGCAAAGUGGACUAACAAUAUUUUCAUGAUCAGCGGCGAUUUUGUUGGUGCACAGAUACACAGCAGGAAGCACAUCCUCGGGGGAUAAGGCCAGCAAACUGGUUGAAAGAAGAUGUCAAGGAAAAAGGGCUGGCAUUCAGUUAUAAGUAAAGCAAUGCAAGCUUUGAUUUCACAACCAAGAGAUAUACACAAAAUAAUAAGAUACAAUCUUACCAACCUCCUAAACAUAUUGCAAAGCAUGGAAGUAGCUUUGAUCUUUCCCCUUUGACUGCCAACAAGGUCAAAAGUCCGUGCAAGAUGGACAUAUGGAGCAGGCUGGUCAGACCUCCAGCAUGCUGCACAGACAUCUCAGUAGGAGUUUUAAAAUUUUGUGAGUAAGCUGAGAUUCUGAGAAGUUCUAUGAACUUUCCCCAAAAAGAAAGAGACACCAAAGAUGCAACAGGAAUAUAACUCAAAGAAAAAUGCCUAACAUUUAAAAACAAUAAAAUAACUUCUAAAUAGAUGCUACCAUACUACAGAAUUAGAAGAAUUUCAAGAUAUAGUAUUAAGAAAAUGGCAAAUGAAAACAACUUCUUGACACUAACCAUGCUCAAUGGGUUUAUAUUUAUCAGGAGGCAAUGAUACAAGAGUUACGUCAACAUUUUCCACUGGUUGUCCUUGCAAAGAUGAAUCCGGAGUAGAUCUUGACUCCUCCAGUGCAUGUUCAUUCUUGCUAACAGGGCAAUCAUUACUACAGCUCCAGACCUGAGCUGAUUUGCUGGAAAAUACCAUAUUUUCCGUAUUCCCAUCAUGGUUCACUUCAGGAUUACCAUAAUAUGUAUCCAGUGCCCUGUUGAUAUCUCCUUGGGUCUUCUCAAGUAAGGUGGCCACAUAAUUUCUUGACGAUUCAUUGCCAUUUAUUAUCUGAAUAAACUGAUCUAUUUUCUCUGUAUAUGAUUUAGUCAAGUCACCAGGCAAAGUGAUUUCAUCCUUAGGGCAUUCCUCAAUUUUCAAGCCAGUCCCACCACCUUUAGAGUCAUCAACCAAAACUUUACCAAAGAAGCUAGUUAUCAUAGGUUGCUUUGACCCGCUAGAUUCCAGUUUUGAGUUGCUUUUUACUUUCUUAUUUGACUUGUUCUCAGUACUUUUCUUCCUUUUACCGGGAGAUAUGUUACUCCGAACUGAAAGUUUAAAAUUAGAAGGCUUGCUGGCUUGACUUAAAUGACUGAUUAAACCUUCAUGACUGCUACUUCUAAAAGGCCCUGAAUUCAAAGAUGAGACAGAGUUGUCAGAUGAACCUGCCUGAGCAGCAGAGGCAGAAUCAGAAGUUCUAAAAGCAGAGAUUUGCUCGUAUAACUCAUUUUCAUGUUCAUAAAAAUUAGAAACUGCUUCAACAACAUUCCAUCUUGAGCUGCUGAUCAAAUUUAAUUUCUGGUCCCUGGUCACCCAUCUGGGCAAAGAGUCACCUAAUUCCUCAAUGAUUCUCUCUCUUUCCUCCUCACUCGGUAUAGCUGAAUCUUGUAAAUCAGGUUUCUGCACAGGAGAUGAAUCAUUCAAAGUAAUAUCUGCAUUUUUACUCUCAACAGAUUUCAUUUCCAAUAUAUUUUGCUUUCUCUCCAUGUCCUUGUCCUCAUUCAAGUCAGGACUAGCAUCCAUUUCGACUUUUUCUACACCCCCAUAGUUGCCGCGAUGAAAACCCAUCAGGAAGUCCUUUUUAUUUGCCAUUUCAUCAACCAGACCAGCAAAGUGCCUUCUCAGCUUAUCAGCAUGCUUACUGUCAAGCUUCUCAAUGUCCAUGCCAACAGUAGGAAUAACCUUCUUUGGUUUCAAAAACUUCACAUAUUCUCUAAGCUCAUCAUAAUUAGAAUGCUCACUGUAAGGGACUAGAUGUAUCUCGAUUGAAUCUUUUGACCUCACUGCAAAUUUAUUCCGUUUAAUUUCAUAAGUCCACCCAGUCGGCACAAAGCCAACAAUCUUCUCAUACCCUUUUUCCUCCAUAAUCUCUUUCAUUCUCACAAAAUUCGGCCGAAAAUACGGCCACGUCUCGCCUAAUACAUUCCAACCAACGACAUGAACAUUACUCUCACUCUCAUCUACCGUGAAAACUUUAUCACCCCCAUACCCCAAAACAUUUAAAAUCUCCAUUUUCCUCCCAUCAACAAAUAUCUUCCUCUUACAUCGCCUCGCGACCUCAACCAAAAUCUUCUCUUUUCCAACAACAUAAGUGGCAACAAGAAACAAAACCUUUUUUUCUUUAAAUUCCUUUCCUAUCCUAUCUACCACACUAACUACAUAAUCAACCGAUUCUUCUUGAGAAGGAAAUACGAAUUUUGGAUUACAAUAAGUAGUAUCUAAAAAAAUCGCAUCACAACCAACAAAGUCAUUCAAAUAACUAUUCAACUUCAUCGAAUUACAAUAACGACAAUCACCCGUGUGAACAUACCUUUCAAAGCUCCCGUUUUUUGUGGGAACUUUGAAUAGGAAUUGGACAGCACCGGGGCAAUGAUUGGCGUCAACGAGAAUGACCUCGCAGCCAUCUACCACAACGGGGUCGUUUAGAGGUAAAGGGAAGACGAAAUGAGGCGGGAUUUUAAGGGUUUGGAUGAGGAGGAGGGAAGUGAGGUGGGAACAAAAGAUGAUGCCUUUGGACCAGGAAGGGGAGAGGCCGGAGUAGUGGUCGGAGUGGAAGUGGGAGAGGAAGUAGGCGGCGGAGAAGGUGGUGGUGGUGGAGUGGCGGAAGGAGUCGACAAGGAAUCGGGUAUUGGGUAUGAGUUUAGAGGGAGGGAAAGAGGAGGGAAUAGAGGGAAAAGAAAGGGUGGAAUCGGAGGAGUCUAUGGCAGUGAGAUAAAGUUGGGUGGAGUCUAACGCAAGUGUUUUGGUGGCGGUGGCCGUCCCUUGAGAUGACAUUGGCAGCAUUUGGUGCGGAGGAGAAGGGAGAGUUUUCACGAGAGGUUGAUUUGGGGGGUUUUCGAGAGUGUAGCGGUUGCGGAUGGGUGAGUUUUUUCCCGCCUGCGCGCCGUAGGCUUGUCCAUGGGCUGGACAGCAUUCAGCCCGACAGACCCGUCCGUAAACAGUUUCGUCAUUCGAGCCCCUUGGUUUCGAAUUAAAAUAGAAGGGAAAGUAUCAUUAAACUAUUUACUUGCAUCUAUUUUGAUUAUUCAAAUAAUUAUAUUUUUAUUUAGUGAUUAAUAUCUUUGAAAUUAAAUAUUUUAGUUAUUCUCACCUUAAUUGUUAUUAGAGUGAUAGAAAGUUAUUGUUAGGUGAGUGAUGAGAAGUUGAAUUGGGUUUUUUUUAUUGAUCUAAUAAAAAUUUUAACUAUUUAUUGUUUAUACAUUCUAUUAAUUUAAUUUAAAUAUAAAUAAUUCAAUAAGUUUAGCCCUCAGUGUUUAUAAAAUUUAUCAUUUUUGUUCAAAUUUUUAAAAAACUCAAUAAAUCUAGCCCUCAACAUUUUUAAGAUGACAAAUUUUAACUUUUAAAAAUUUAUCCUAAACUAUUAAUUACUUGGUUUCUUUUAUCAAUCGAUAUGAAGUGAUCUGAGUUGUACUCUAAAAGACUUAUGUAUAUAAAUAAGAGGUUAUAACUUUUGAGGCAAAAUGAGCUGAUAAUUAGUGAGUGGUAUUAGUAGUGCAAACUACAGAUUAUCAUUAAGAUAGUUCUAAUACUUACCUUAUUUGAUUUGACAAUUUAAAGAAGAAAAUCUUUGGACCUGAUUAUGCAUUAUUUUAUUAAAGAUAUUAUGGUCCAUCUAUGGAAAACUAAUCCUUGGCAUUUGAAAAUUAGAUUGGAUUCAAGUGAAUCAAAUUAUCCUUUGAAACAUGGAAAACUAAUGAAGACUAUGUAGUUCUUUUGUAAAUAAGAUAUUCAAUUGAUUAUACUUUGAUUAUUGUGAUUGUAGUAAAUAUUUUCAAGGAGUUACAUUGUAUUAGAUUUUAUGUUAGCAAGCCAAAUUGAAUAUAUGUUAUAAGGCUUGUCUACGUUUUGUAAGAAAGUUUACUGAGAGCACUUGAAUUUGUUCAUUGAGGAACUAUUUUUGUGAGAGAGUGCAAAGUUUGUAUUGUAAACAUUGUUGAGAGUGUUUACUGCCCAAGUUCUAAAAAAAAGGAUUUGGAGGUAAGAGUUCUAGUCUUUUAAGUAUAAAAGUGAAGUCUCUAUAUUUGAAAAGUGAUAGAGUGUGAGUCACUUAUUAUAUUGUUAACUAAGGAUAGUGGAAUUUCUCAUUGAGCUAGGCACUGCAGACGUAGAGAAAUCGAAUUGCGUAAACAAAUCAUUAGUGUUAUUUGGUUUUUUGUUUACACAGUUUUGCAGUGUCAAGAUGUAAUGGCCAUUACAAUCUAGCACUUCCAUUGCACUUGUUGUGUUAAGAAAAUAAGCAACUUAAUUUAGCAAUAAUUGGUAUCAGAGUAGACACUUAACAUAUCUAGUGGUGAAUCUUGAUGCUAUUUUUUUUUCUUAAAAUGGAAGGUUAGUCGAUUACUCAUUCCCCUGUGCUUGAGAAUGACAAUUAUCCCUACUUGAAAGCUAAAAUGAAAGCCUACAUUAAGUCUGACAAUGAAAACGUAUAGAGAUCUGUACUUACUAACUAGUAAACUCCUACUAUUGAUACUAAUAUUGGGAAGGUUCCUAAGCUUGAGGUUCAAUAGACUUUGUAACAUCCCAUACUCGACCCGGUUGUCGGGCCUGAGCUACGAGAUGCCAUAAUCAACGAUUUAAUAAAUUCAAAACAUCAUGGAACAUAAAAUCAUUAAAAUACAUAAAUAAUUAACAUUUAAGUACAUAAUGUAUUACACAAUCAUUUUUAGGUCCUACAUGAACUUAAGAAAGCUCUUUUGUUAACCUGAGCUUGAAUUAGGAUCAAAUUGUAAAGUUUUAAAAAUUUAGAGUUGAUGUCGCAACCUUACAUCAUCCACAUCGUGAAGUUGCCAACACAGUAAGUCACUUUGUGAUUUCAAGCAUAUCGACGUCAAAACGUCACUCACUGUCAGCAUUAUGUUGCGACAUUGGACAAUCGUGGUCGUGACGUAAACCUUGUUUUGGCCAAAAAAUACUAUUAGAUUCCAAUUCAAGGAAUGCAAAGCUACCUAGAUUUAUUCUUAACAUCUUAUACCGUUAAAACCAAGUUAAAACAAUAUCAUUUCAUUAUAACAAGCCGCCCAACGAAUUUCAACUAAGUUCAACUCAAACAUGACCUCAGUCUAUUCAAAACCAAUUCAUGUAUAUAUUUUUGUUGGCUUAUAACUCAUGACUACAUCCCAGUAGAGCCUAUUCCGUGUUUGUUUAAACCAUGUAGGAUCUAUAGCUUCCCUGGUGGACUAUGUAUAUCUCAUUAUCUAAGGAGCCUCUUCAUCUUUUCAUCCUAACUGGGGUUGAGAUAUUUCCCUAGCCCUAUUCAUCAUCACCUUUGGUGAACUCUCUUACUAUCCCGGUAGUCUAUGUCCCUCAGACCUACCAAGCUCAUUCAUUCUUGUGACUUAUCGUCCCAAUCAAAAUCAAGAACUCUACUUAAAUUCAUUGGCAUCCCUCUUGGGCUACAAACUUUCAAAUUGUGACCCCUAUGUUUUACGUCCUAGCUAAAUUCCCUGAGUUUACUGUCCUAAUGGAUUACCCCAUGUUUACUGUCCUGGCUAACUGACCUAUGUUUACUAUCCUGGCGGACUAUCCCUUAUUUACUGUCUCGGCAGACUACCUCGUGUUUAUUGUCCCGACUGGCUACCCCGUGUUUAUUGUCCCAACAAACUAUCUUGUGUUUACUGUUCUGACGGACUAUCCUGUGUUUAUUGUCUCGAUGGACAAUCUCGUGUUUACUGUCUCUAUGGACUACCUCGUGUUUAUUGUCCCAAUGGACUAUACUGGUUGUCAUAGCUGAGCUAUGAUCUUACACGUUAAACCUUUUUUUAAGGUGUCGCAUCGUAGGACCUUAUCGUUGACACGGUGUCACCCCAUAGAGCCUAUUGACCGCCAUUGUAGUGUUACUCUAUAGAACCUAAUAACUGUUGUCAUGGUGUUGUCCCGAAUGACCUAUUUCAUAUUUUACCUUGAUGCUUGAACACUGAAAUGUCCCCCUACAAGGCCUAGAGUUUUGCACAUCACAACUUGCACUCAACAACACCGUAUGGCGGUAUCUAACAAAAAUUCUCAUUCCUAAGUCCUAACUUCAUCUAUCACGUCAAUAUUUUCCGCUACACUAUGCAUACAUUACUCAAACAUAUCAUACAAUUUAUCAUUAAACAAAUAUCACUCCAGAAUAUCUAUUAGUAUUUAUCAUAAAACAAUCAGCAGUCAACUAGCAAAAGCUCAUACAACAUCAUUUAUCAUCCAAAGGCAAGGUACAUAAGUUCACAUUGUUCCUUAUUCUUGUCAACUUGGCUUAUCUAAAUCCCAAAGCCUCAUUUGUCCUAAUAGCUAAGCAUGACAACCAUUUAUCGGUUAAACUAUAGGUGUUAAACCCUUAAAACUCAAAAUCCAUCAUUAUACAGAAGCUUUUAGAAGUUCUUACUUUACUUCUUCCUUCAAUCCACGAGUACAGAGAGGUAAAAAAAGUUUACCAUUUACUAGUUCCUUAAUUUCUAUACUACCAGACUUUAAUGUAUCCGACUGCUAUGAUAUGCAAAUAUUCCUUCAACUACAUCCACUUAUUCUUUAGAGUGACUGAAGAAGAUGAUGUUAUGGAGAGAAAAAUGUGUAAACAAAAUUGAGAAAUCCGUCACCACACACCUCUCUAUAUAUAUAUAUUCCUAUGGCACGAUCUUCACUGAUUGUUACAACCAUUCAUCCUUAAUCAUUUUGUCUUCUACUAUCGAACCAGCCAGAUCCAUCAUGACCAAACUAGGAUUGCUAUCCAACUAAUGGUAUUUCGGCCACUAAGAUUUCUAAAUUUCUUAGCGAGGUUUGACAAUUUGAUCCUUUCAAUUUAAUUCUAACUUUUCCUAGAUUUUGGGUGAAUAAGAUACUCGAGUGUUACAAUGUAAUUGAAUGGACUAAACAUAUUUCUCCAAAGUUAUUUUACACUUAUAAAUGUUUGAAAAAACGUGACAUUGAUAUUUGUGAAAUUCGCUCAGGUGAUAACCCAACAAAUUUGUUUAUAAAAGCAUUGUCAACUUCAAAUUUCUAACAUGUACAUAACAUAGGGAUAGGAAUGCGUCGUCUUAAAGACAUUAAAUAAUUAUUUACUUUUGAAGGGGAAACCUUCUAUGAAUAUUAUCCUAUUUUUUCUUCACUAAUUUUUUUUUAUCAUUUUGGUUUUUUCUUAACAAAAUUUUAACGAGUUAUAUUCAUAAUGAAUAGUCAUCCAAUUAGAAGUGUAUAAGAUUAUACACUUAGACAUUAUUUGCAUGAAAUGGACGAUUAUAUACUUAGACAUUUAUGAGAUUCAUGUAUAUUAAUGGUACAUGAAUUGUGCAAAUUCAUUAUGCAUAAUCAUGUAUUGACUUAUUAAAUGUAUCUACCUAUUAAGGGUGUUCAAAUGAUCAGUUUGGUUAAUACCCGAAUAGAAUUAUCUAAAAUGUAAAAGUCUUUAACUGUUAACCGAACAUAAGUUUUUUUCAAAUACAUUAAUUGAGCUGAAAUAUUUCAGUUAAUUCCUGUCGAUUAACCAAACUAACCAAAAUUUAUAUGUUUUUAUCUUCUGGUUAAAAUAAGUAUAAAACAUACAAAAAAAAAACAUUGCUAAUGUUCAUUUUCUUUUAUUCAAUAGUUCAAAAAACUUUAAAUGGAGGUGAAAAGAACAUAUAAGACAUUAGAAAUACUAUAUAAGUCUUGAAAGUUAACAACAAAACACUACAUAAGUCUUGCAAACAACAAAUAUUUCGGUUAAUUGGUUAAUUCAGUUAAUUAUCCGGUUUCAAACCGAAUUAACCAAUAACCAAAAUUUCAAAAAUUCAUUAACCGACCUCCGAUCAAACUAAAUUCGACUACUGACCAAUUAAUCGAAUUAGAUCAAUUCAAUAAAUUAACUUAAUUUUAACCGAAUUAUGAAUACCCGUAUCACCUGUAUAUUGAAAGUUAGAAGUCUUAUACAGGACCCUUUCUGUAGCCUCUUAGUGAGGUGCGAUGCCUUUGUCUUUGUUGCUUUUUAAUUACUCUCACGCGUCAAGGGCUUAUUUUCAUUUCUCUUGCAUGACGAUAUGUGAUGUUUUGCUUAAAAGAAGAUAUAAUAAAUUAUUAACAACUUGAAAAACUAAAAUUGCCCGAGAAUAUAUUUGUUUUGAUAUUCUUUACUUUAUUUUUUAUUUAUAAAACUUUCAUAUUUUCAUAAUUCAUUUAUAAUAUAUUUAGAAUAAAUUAAUAGUAAUUUUUAUAUUUAAUAUAUAUAUUUUUAUAAUUCUCUAUAAUUUUUAAAUUUUCUACAAUACAUUCAUAUUUUUCAUAAUAUAUUUAUAAUACUCUAUAAUAUUUUUAAUUUUUCUAAUAUUUUAAUUUUUAUAUUUUUAUUGCUAUAAUAUUCCAAUAUUUUUAUCUAAAUAUUUUAAAAAAUAAUUAAAUCUGUAUAAAAUAAUUAAAAAAUCAAUUAAACAAUCUUAAAAUAACUAAAAAUAAUAAUUAAACCUUAAUAUAAAUUUUUUUUUCACAUCAAACAUAACGUGAAUCAUAAUGUUAGUAUUUUUCCCAUCAAUUGUCACUUUAGUCGUUACGACUUCGACCAAAAUCAUUAUUUCAAAAUUAAAUCAAUUUAAUUGAAUUUAGGAUUUAAAUGAGUAAAUUAAGUUAAUUUAUUUUUAAAUAUUUUAUAAGAACUGUUUUAACAUUUAAGCUUAAAAUAAAUUUUUAAAAAUCAUAUAGAAUUCGAACAUAAAAUUACAAAAUUCUCAAUAUUUUAAACUUAAGUUUUUUUUUACUAAAAUAUUAUGAAAAUAAUAUUAUUAUUUACCAAAAAUAUUAUGAUUUGAACAAUAACUUGAAAAUUUAUAUCCAAUUCAUCAUUAUUGGUGGUGAUUUGAGAGUUUUGAUAGAGAAUAUUGAUCUUAUUUGAUCUGUUAUUUUAGAAUUCUAAAUCGGCACCAUUUAUGAUAAUUUAUUAUUAUAUUUAUUAAUAUAUUAUUCAUUUUAUAUUAUUUUGAUAAAUAAAUUUAAACAUAUAUUAUUUAAGUAAAGAAUUUAGUUUUUAUAUAUUUAGAUGAAAAAAAACUCUUGCAGUACGUUUGGUUCACUGUAAUGAAAUAAGACUGUAAUUGAAUAGAGUUGUAAUCAGUAAUUCAACUGUUUGGUUGAAUGGAAUGGAAUAGAACUGUAAUAGUAUUCUUGUGUUUAGUUGAAUGGAAUGGUGUUGUAAUAGCAUAAGGUAAAAAACUAAAAAAACCAGAAUACUCUUAGCAAUUUUUUUAAAGCAGAUGAUUAUUGUUAUUGUUAUUAAAUUUUAACAAAGAUUAUUAUUAAAAAUAAUUUAAUAAAAAUAAUAAAUAAUUUAACCAUAUUUUAACAUAAUUAUUAUUAAUAUAAUUUUUAAUAAUAUGAAUUAAAAAAUCAUAAUAUAUAAUACUAUAAAAAUAAUAUAUAAUCCACUUUAUGAAUUUUAAACUGCAAUAUAUAUUUAAUAUGCUAAAAUAUCAUUAGUGAAAUAAAUAAUUUAAUUAUUCUACUAGGUUGAAAAGCUCUUUUAAUUAUUUGUCAUUUUGGUUUUCUUUGAAAAUUUCUUCAUUGAUCCUAGCCCAAGCCGUGUUUGAAGAUGCUUGUAAAGCUAAAAAAAGCCAUGUCUUUAAUGUAUUUUUAGGAAAACAAAAAGAAAACGACAUAUUUUUAUUAAUUACUUUUUCUCAUAAAAGCUAAUUAAAAUUUCAAUUUUUUUUACUCUCCUUCUUGUUAUUUCUUUUAUUUGAAUUUGACUUUAGUUUAAUUCUAUAUUUUAAUUUCAUAUUCAAAAGUGUGCCAAUCAUAUUCGAUAGCCCCUAUCUAAUCAUAUUCAUUUUCAAUCAUUUUUGUGUUUGAACUCAAUUUGUUCCUUUGUUUGAAUAAUGUUUUUAUUUGAACAAGGGAAAGUAAAAAGCAUGAAGUAUCCCGUACUAGAAGUAUAUAAUAACAUUUGUUUGAAUAACAUUUCUAUUUACUAUAGUUGUAAGACUAAAAGUAUAUAAUAAGCUACCAGACUACAAAAGAAGCUGCCCAUUUAAUGAAUCCAAACUACAUUACCAGGAAGAAAAAUCCUACAAACUCAACCUGCUUGCCUGCCUGUCCUUCCUACCUUGUACUUUGCUAUUGACAAUCUUAUUUCAAGGUUCAAUUACUAACAGAGGCUGCAAAGAUGACAAAAAAGAACGCCUGAGCAACAGAAAACUAAGACAAAAAGGACAAAAACAAUCAAAUUUACUUCAAAUCCACAAUUCAAUACCCAUCCAUCCAUCCAUAUACAUUAUUUGGAAUCAAGGUAGCAAAGAAUACUCACUGUAUCAACGUUGACUGCUUUGCCAUCUUUUACAAGGAUCUCGACUAUGGUUCCUAAUUGAUCAGCCUAUUGAAACAAUGAUUUUUCAUCUACAGUUAGCUACAUAAAGAGACAAUUUGACAAUUUCAAUAAACUAUGGAUGCAACAGAUCAACAUAUUGAUUAAGGGCUGUACAACAGAUUACAGUGAUACUGCAACUGCCAAGUGCAGUAAUUAUGGGCGGUAAUCGCUAAUUGGCCAAACAAACUAAAAUGCAGCUAUCAGGCUGGUUGAUGAGAAUGCUCCAAGAGGAAGAACUAAUAUGGAAUCUAUUUAAUACUAAGUCUCUUUAAGGUUAAAGUUUAAUCAAGCAAGCAUGAAUGUUCAAUAAAAAAAUGGAAAACUAACUGGCCAUUUAAUUGAAACCUGCAGCAGAGUAUCCUUAUAACCAAAAAGUACCAGUCAAGCUUGCUUAAGUUUCUAUUCAGCAUUGACCUUAGGGCCUUACACAUUCAAGAAUCCUAAAGAUCUGAGCCAACUACACGAAUCUUUUCCUUCCAUUUAGCCUCUGUUAAAGCAUUCUCUUGUCCCACACUUAAAUUUCAUUUCUUUUUUAUCUAGAUAUUAAAAAUCAUUUUUCAACAGAAAGCAUCUAAACCAUGCUUAUGACUAAAUUCAUUAAAGCAUCCUUUCUCCCAGUUUAUAUAUGAUUGCAUCAACUUUAAUUUUUUUUUUCUUUAAAGUCAUUCUCAUUCUAUCUUUUUUUUGGGGUAUUUUUGCUUAUAUCCGUUUCAAUGUUUCCAUUUGGAUCACAAGCUACGUGUGCACAUUUUCUCCACCUAAACACAAAAGGCACUGUUACUAUUAAUCUAAAGAAAGUAUUUAACCAAUUUGUAGUACUAACCAAUGGUUUUUCGUAGUACUAAACGUUUCCUCUAUGAAUUUUAAAACACCUAAAGCAGAGACCAAACCUGAAAUCUAUGCCUUUCACAAAGUGGUCUCUGCACAAACUGAUUCCUCUACUAACAAUGGGGAAACUUUCUUCUAAUGGAUCUAAAAUUUUAAUGUUCUCACCCCAUUUCACAAGCCUGUCCAAAAAUUCUGCUGCAAUACUUUCCUGUCAAACAAAUAACAAGCUUUGCCUCGUCAUGAAUUGGAAAUAGAAAAAAAAUAUAACAAAAUCGACGAAGACAUGCUACAGGCAUAGUUCAAGAACUCGUGGUAGCAGAAUCUUUCCCUUUUUGGAUCUAAUGUGUGACUUUGACUUGAAUCAUAAUAACAGUAAUUUUCAUCCAACCACGUUCCCAUACAAGAAGAGUUUUGAAGUUAUGAGUGAGGAGAAAUAUAAUCCUAUUUUAGGAGCUUAUCAUAAAAAAAGAAAAGGUACCCUUUAGGGAGAUGAAGAUGAAGGGCGAAUGCACCCUUGAUUUAGGGAUAAAUGUUGGAAGAAAUCUAGAGUAGAAAUUUGGGGAGAAGAAAGCAGGCUAUUUUGAGGAUAAAUUUUAGGCGUGUGGUGUUGAAUAACAAUUCAAAGGCCCCGCCCGUGAAUACUUAUUACAACAACUGAGGGAAUAUAAGUAUAAUAGCAAAGCUGUAAAAUUACCUAAACGAUGAACCAAACUUGAAAAUUACUAUAACAGGCGGAAUAGGGCAGAAAUAAAAUUGCAAUUCCAUCCAACCAAGCCGUUGAACUUAUCCUUCACUAAAAUCACAAAAUUCUUAACCACUCGGCAUUUAAUUUUAAUCAAGGUGUUAUCUUAAAGAAAAAGGAGAAUUCAAGGUGUCAUUGACAUAUUUUAAUUUUAUUUCUCUUUUAAAGUGAGAGAUUAGCUAGAUUCGAGGCAAUGCACAAAAGUUUUGGCCUGACGUGAGGAUGCACGCCUCCACAUAUAUCUAAUUGUACAGAAUUAUUUAUAAAACUAAUAAAAACUACGAAAUUACAAAAAGAACCCAGAAGAAAAAAAUCUCCCUAAUAUCUUCACUUUUUCUACUUCCGUUGAACAGUCGUAAACAAAUCGAGUCUCCAUCUUUCUUUCUUCACUAACAAAUUUAACCAGUUUUUUGGGAGUUAAAUAGCUUGAAAUCGAUGGCAGGAAUGAGAUUGUCGCCGGAAGAGUCUACGGAAGCUAACCAACAUCUUCAGCUUCCGCAGCAACAGCUGCAGACCGGUCGAGAAGCGGCUUCCGAUGACGACAGGUCGGUGGCUGCAGAUUCAUGGUCUAUAAAGAGCGAUUACGGAAGCACACUUGAUGAUGAGCAGCGCCACGCUGAUGCCGCCGAAGCCCUGUCCUCCGCUGCCAACUUCCGUCCCGCCUCUGAUUACAGGUUUCUCUUUUAGUUAUUCUAUUUGUCUUCCGGUUUUGCCUUUUUUUUUAAAUAUUAAUCUUUGGCUAGUUUUUGAGUUUGAUAGUCCAUAAACAAGUGCUUUCGAGUUGUAGAAAGUGAAUUCGGUGCUUACUUUCUUACUUUUAUUUAUUUAUUUAUAUAUGUACAUGUAUGUAUUUUUUAGGAGUGAAUUUUAAGCUUGAGAUUUGAUCUAUUGACAAUUUAAAAUUUCUUUGCGAGAAGAUGAAAUGAAUAUUUAAUUAUCUUGGUUUAACUUUCUUAGUUUGACUUUUGGAUUGGAAAAUUUCAUAGUUUAUUUGACCUUAAUUAUUGCUUGUAUUAGUGUGAUUUUUAUAUUAUUUCAAAAAAUUAUACGUGGAUCAGUGCUAUGGAAAUGAAAAGAAAAGUUAUUGAUAUGAUCAAUCUAUAGAAAUUUUAGUUCUAUACAACCAAAAGGUUAAGAGUUCUACAUUUCAAUAUAUAAUUAUUUAUCGUUAUAGAUAAAUGCAAUCAAGAAACAAGUUCUUUUAUUCUAGUAUGGUUCUUUUGCCUUUUUCUUUCCCCAGCUAUAAAGCAAUAGGGAAUACUACAAAGAAAAAUCAUAUAUGAUGGAAAUGUGCUGAUGAGUAUAACGGAAUACCAAUUCAAACAUAUUUGUUCCAUGCAAAUGUAAAAGAAAUUAUGGAUUUUGUUCUCUAUGUAAUUUCAUUUUUAAUCGUUCAAGAAUAUUAUUUCCUUUUAUAUCCCAAAACACGUUAUACUUUUUAUGGCAAGUAGGAAAGUUGACAAUGAAAUGGGGGCUUAUUAGUUAAAUUUUCAGGAUUUGGUUUUGAUAGGUGGAAUUAUAGGACAAUAUUAUUUUAACCCAUUGCUAAAGAAGUUGAAUAGUUUAUAUUAAUCAUUGCCUGUAUGAUUUUUAUUGUACGUACAGUUCCGACAAGGACGAACCAGAUGCAGAGACAUCAAUGCUUGGUCUUCAGAGUUACUGGGAUGCUGCAUAUCUUGAUGAGCUUGCCAAUUUUCGUGAACAUGGUCACGUUGGUGAAAUUUGGUUAGCAUUACCUUAACUAUGUUAAUUUGCCUUCAAGCUGGGCAUUAUAUUUGUACUAAUAGCCAAAAUGUUUUUAUCAGUUAUCACAUAAGCAUGUAAUCUGUGUGUAUAAAUAUAUUAAAUGGAAUUUAAUUUGACAUGCAUUUUCAUGGUUGCCCCAAUGACCCUUUGACUUGAUACCUUCUUUGAGUUGGUAUCUGUGCCUAGUUUAAUAACUUUUCUUAUAGCAAAAGGAUUGUAAAACUUUUAUUUGUGCUAAUUUAAUUUCAAAACUUGUAGUUAAUCUCUUCACUGUUUUACCUCUCUUUCCAUAGGUUUGGAACUGAUGUCAUGGAUACUGUUAUUUCUUGGACCAAAAGUUUGUGUACUGAUGUGUCUCAAGGUCACAUCCCGAAUCAUGUUGGAGAGCCCAAGCCGCAGUCUGUUGAACACGAUGAAAAGUAUUUGUCUUGCUGGAGUGUACUUGACAUUGGCACGGGAAAUGGUCUGCUCCUUCAGGAGCUUUCUAAGCAGGGGUAUAAUCUAAGACUUUGCCUGUAGCUCUGGUAUUUUAUGCUACUAAUAUCAGUUCAAGUAAAAUAAUUUGUGGUCUUUAAGUGAAACAAUCAGUUUGCUUGCAUAUUGUUAUUGCUAUUGCUCUACUGGUAUUUUAUAAGACAUAUUUUUGCUAGUGUCAUAACAUGAGCAGAUAAGAGGUGCUCUUAGUCUUAUGAUCUUCAAUUUAGGUUGGCCUUGGCCAAAAUAUUAUAAGUGAUAAUGGAUAUGAAUGAAUAUUUCCUGAAGAAAAGGACUCAGUUUUACCUAAAGAUGGACAAAGUUUUAUUAUGAUUGUGAAACAAUAUAGAUAUAUAAAGAAACCCUGGUAGGUAACUAAUAUUUGAAUAGGGCAAUGUAGCCAUCCUGCCUGUAUAACUUGAUAAAUGAACCAUUUAAAUAACUAGAGAACAUUUUUCCUGUUUAUAAUUGCUUGUAUAUAUUUGAGGCUUAAUUGCAAAAGGUGUCCCAAACAAUGGGCCAAAUUCUAAAUUGAUCCCUAAACUUCAAAAUAUUCACAUUGAAUCCUCAAACUAAAGUAUCGUUUUAAUCAGGUCCUUCAAUGAGUCUAGUUAUCAGCAUUGGAAUUAAAUGUGAAAUUGGACCUGCCAUGGUUCUUUUAUUUUUUUUGGAACAUGUAUGGGUUAAUAAAUAUUCUUUGACUAUUUCUGUUAUUCCAUUGUGUAUCACUUCAGUGUUGGUUAAUCUAUAUAGUUGUAGUUGAACUAAAUGGAUUUAAAUAAUACAUUUAGGCAUUGGGUAAACUUUCUGAAAAAUUUAUAGGUGAAUAAACAAAAUUUUCUUUUUAUUAUUGCUUUGAUGGUAAUGGUCAGGUGAAUUUGCUGCACUUCUUAAUUCAGGUUCACAGAUUUAACUGGAACUGAUUAUAGUGAAGGAGCAAUUGACCUUGCUCGAAGCCUAGCUGAUCGAGAUGGAUUUUCAAACAUCAAGUUUCUGGUAUGGAUGGAAUUCUAUGAAAUCUAACUGAAUCUAAGUACAGGCUGUUUUUGUUCACCCUUUAAAAGAAAUUAGUAUUAUCAUGUUCUAUGAAUUGAAGUGCUUAUCUCUGAUUUGAAAUGAAUUGCUGUAUGGUUUCUUUAUGUGUGCAUUUUUUUAUUCCCAUUCUUUGUAUAUUUAUUUACACUUGCUUAUACAUCACAUUGUCUUGGUUCUUACUUUUGAUUCUUGUUUAAUCUUUAGAUCUUCCCCAUCCAAUUGUCUUAGAUCAGAUGACAAGUUUGCUUUUAUUGCAUCUAUUACUGAGAAACCAUUGAACCCAUAGGCAAUUUGCUUACCUUGCACUUAUCAACCAUUCUUAUUUUUAGAUAUUUGUUUGAUCUUUAAAACUUUCUCAACCUCUUGAGGGGUGCUAUAAACCAAAAUAUAACGGCUUGGGGAAGUUAGGGCCUUCUAUGCAGUCCAAAAUACAAAUUUAAGAUCCAUUUGUGAAGAAAACCGGAUAUUGAGACUUUGAACACCUGUCUGAGAGAUUAGGAUGGAGAUGUAGGUUUCUUAUGAAGAAACAGGAGCAUUCAAAACAUUCUGGGUUGAAAUUGAAUUCCUACAUAAUUGAUCACUCUCUUAAUGCUCAACUGUUCUCAAAGCACCUUGACCGUUGCUAUUUCAUUUGGUCCUUAGGUUGAUGAUAUUCUUGAGACAAAGUUGGAUAGACAGUUUCAACUUGUCAUGGAUAAGGGGACUCUCGAUGCCAUUGGCUUGCAUCCUGAUGGGCCUAUCAAAAGGUAAUAGUGAUUUCAUCUCUACUAAAGUAUCUCCCUUCAUAUGCUGUUUCCUCAGUACAGUGAUAUAUAUAACAAAUAACUGAUUAUCAGGAAGUUCACAUCCAUGCAAGUAGAAUCUCAUGAAUUGAAUCGUACAAUUUGCACUUAUGUAUAUGAUAUGCAUUAGUUUGGAUCUUUUUUAGUAGCUCUAGCUUCUACAGUUGUUAUCACUUUCUACUUGAUCACCUUUUAAGAUUUUCUUGAACUUUUUCGUUUCAGGAUUAUGUAUUGGGAUUCAGUUUCAAAGUUGUUGGCCCCCGGUGGAAUAUUAGUAAGCACCUUACAGGCUUGUUUAUGGUUUUAUUUUAUUUCAUCAAAACUUCUGUGGUGAAAUGAGAUCCAUUGCAAUCAAAGCUCGAGCUUGAGUAGUACCUCUUUUUAUAUAUACACGCACAUAUACACAUGCCCACUCACAUUCCAAUUGUGUACAUAUACAAAUAAAAGUCAAAAUUCCAAUUGCGCUCACUAGUUUUGCUCAAGCCAAGGUUUCGUCUCCAGCUUUCUUGACUACUUGGAUAAGUUCAAAUAUUCUUAAAUUCAAUCCUUAGUAUAGCUUUGACAAGGCUAGUAUCUCAGUGUGAGAAUUGAAUUUAAAUGAAUUUACAGUACCGCCUAUGUUACUGGGCCUUAUAUAUGUCUUAUGCAAGUAUGUGUCUGAGCCGGGUAUCUUCAAUUCUUUUUCUAGGUUAUUCUGAGUUUGGAGGGUCAUUUCUUUCUCGUACUCUUAUCCAAAAAUGUGUUAGAUAUGAGUACUUAAAGAAAAAUGAAGAGUUGGAGCAACAUGUAUUACUCUUUGUAGAUUGAGCAAUUUUAUUUUUAAUGAUGUUUGUAGGUGAUUACAUCUUGCAACCAUACAAAAGAUGAAUUGGUCCAAGAGGUGGAAAAUUUCAAUCAAAGGAACAUUGCAAUAUCCCAGGAGCCAAGUGCAACGAAGGACCAAGAGACACACAGAGAUCAUCCCCCGUUUCGAUAUCUGAAUCAUGUUCGGACUUAUCCUACAUUCAUGUUUGGUGGAUCUGUGGGAUCACGUGUUGCCACUGUUGCGUUUCUAAGGAACUAAAUUCAAAGCUUCGGUCUUUUGUCAUGAACGGACUUCACUUUUUUGGAUUGUCGUGGUUGAAAAUGGUUAAGGAUCAUGCAUGCUGAUUGGGACUGGAUAGAUAGACGUUUGAAACUUUUAUUUAUCGGAUUCUUGAUUAUGUUUUAUUUCCAUGAAAGAUACUGGUGUAGCUUGUGGUGGGAUUAUCCUAGGCAAUUGUGUACCAUACGUGGUGUAAGGGUUAUGCAAUUGAUUACCAAUCAUGCCUGCCUUUUGAGUUUUGAUUCCAUGUGCUUCUGUUGCUUGUUUAGUUUCUUGACCGGUAGAGUGAUAACAGGAAAUUUGAGACAAUCCAAUAUAUAUUGCAAAAUUAAGGUGUUUCAUUAAUUUGUUUUCCUUGUAUUCUUGUCUGAUUCGAAUCUUGAAUCUUCAAUUUUGAAUUUUGAACGUCCACAAGCGUUUGAGGGGGAGGAAAUCCCAUAUGGAUAGCAAAGGAUUGAACUCCGUUUUCUAUGGAAAAAACUGGUACAGAAACAUGAUGAAAUAAAAAAGAAGAUAAAACUCACAUUAAAUGCACAUGUUGCAUAAAAUUACCUCAAUUAAUUUUGAAGUAAAAUAGAUUUUUUUAUUUAAUACAUUAUAUGCACAUGUUGCAUAAAAUUUUAAAUUUUAUUUGAUAAAAUGCAAAAUUAUUUAAUACGUCUCACUAAACUGUUUUUAUAAAAUUUAUUUAUUUUAUUGAUUAUUACAGAAAUUGAAACUUUUAAAAUUUUAUUUUAGGCAUUUAGCUAGUAAAAUAAUAUCAUCUCUCAUUUGUCAUUUCUUAGGUAAAAAAAACUAGACUUGGAGAAGCGAGCUUAAUGGUUAAAAUUUUUCCUUUAAUCAAAAUGAUAAGGGAACGAAAGAAGAAAAAAAGCAUUUUUAUUGAAAUAUAUUAUUUGUUACGGUUUAAAAGCAAAUUUAAUCAAAAUGAUAAUUAAAAGAAAGUAUGGUACAAUUGCUAUAAAAGUAUUUUUCCAAGUAUGAUUUAAUAAACAAAAUGCAAUAUAAUAGACUAAAUGUUAUAUUUGAAAUUUUGUUUGAAAAAUAUAUUAGAUAAUCAUUCUUUCGUUUUAGUUUACUAAAAUAAAUUGAAGUGAUUAUGUAUGCAAGAAAAUUUAAGGGAAAUUUAAAGAAUUAGUAUUGAAAUUACUUUCUAUAUUCCUAAAUCCUGACAGGCUGAGAAUAUAAAAUUAAUUUGAAAUUUAAUUAUGAGAAUCCCAAGAAAAUUAAUUUGCUUGAACCAAACAUACCCUAGAAGUUAAAACAUGUGUAAAACUAAGAUUUGUAUAUGGUUUACAUAAUUUAACAAAUCAACAUUCAUAAAUUAGCAAUAUAAUUGUUUUGAUCACACAACACGAAACAAUAACCAAAGCAUAAAUAAGAACACACUACUCGAAAACAAGAGUUGAGAGGUAUAUUUUUUGAAGACAUAGUAAGAUACUGAACUGAAAUCUACAACACUUAAGACACAAGAAGCAAUUUAAGGUUAUACAGUAUCAAGUUCUUUGCCAAGCUUGCCACCAAGCUUGCCACAUGCAAGUUUUGCAUCUCUUCAGUUGGAAAAGAAGGGAAGAGAAAAUGAUAAUAGAUAAACUAGCAAGACCAGAGGGAUGAAAGAGGCUUCCCUUUCUGACAAGUCACGACAUGUUCCAAUACGAUCUCCUCCACUUGUUUUUCCACAUCUUCUAUGCACUGGGAAGCAUCUAUCAUCUGCAAUCGUCGCAUGACAUUUUAAAACAAGCAUCAUUUUGCUAGCCAUUGUUCAAACCCCAAUAGAACCCAUCAAAGCAAAACUGGUUUUUCCGGUUUCUAGCCAUUUCAUUAGUUUUUCAGUUCAACCUAUAUGAUUGAACUGCCAGACCAACCAGUUCCCUGUUCAAUAGGUUGGUCCAGUCCUGUCUUUUAAUUACUUCAACUAACCAUGGCAUCUUGUUGCUAUUGCUAUAUGGCAUGAGAUGAAAUAAAGUAUUACCUUCCAUGAAGAAUCUUCAAGAAGCUUAUAGUGUUGUGCAACUUUCUUCUGAAACUCGAGCUGCUCGUAUCUCUCACCUCCGUAGCCUCCUCUUUCUGCAGCUUUCUAAUAAAUAUGAAACAAUAUUUUCAGUUUACAUAUAAUAUUUUCUGAAGUUUUCACCAGCUUUAACAUAACUAACCUCGGGCGGUAUAUCAAGGUACACUACCAGAUCUGGAGCUAUUAGCCCAUUCUCUGGUGCCUGUAAGAAAAGACCUUAGUUGUUGUCAACGACCAUGGUAAGCAAUAACUUAAUAUGUGAGAAGCAGCUAGUUCUUUUGGCAGUUUGCCUUUACCUUACACCAUUCGAAAUCAAGUCCUUUAGCAGAUGAGAAAGCGACUCCAGAAUAAGAGUAACGGUCUACUAUAAGGGUGGUUCCAGCUUUCAGUUUUGCUUCCAUCAUUGAUCUGCAAACAAAUAGUAGAUUUAGGACUUCAUCUUAUACUGCAAAUAAUUAUCGAACAUAUGCACAUGCAGAUACUGGAUUCAUUUAGGGUAUUCUUGGUGAAGUGGAAAAGUAUCAAGAAAGCAAUGGUAGAUUGGAAAAGUUGAAAGAAAAUAAAUUUCAAGUGUGCUUGGUAGGAAAAAGAAGUGAGAGGAAAUCAGAAACGAAAGACAACUAUCUUCCAUCACAAUGCACAGAAACAAAAAUUAUUCCGAUUUGGAAUAAUAAGAGGAGAGAGAACGGAAUAGAUACAAAUCAAAUAUGAAUAUUUACAAUAUUUGCAUUUUUAAAAAUUUUAUUUUCUUUUCUCUCAGUUUUCAUUUCUGUCAAACAAUUGAUAUGUACCAAAUUGCAAGUUAUGAGACUUGAAUCCCAUAUAGGGAAGUAUGGGAUUUCUUUGUGAGGAUGCUCAACAACUAGUUUUUGGAGUGUGGUUCUCCAAAGGUCCAUCAAUUGGUACCAAAGCCAGCCAUCAUGUCUCUCAAUUGCAGUUGUGCAGCUCUAAUGGUGACAUUGAUAUUGCAGUGUUCUGCCAGGGCUAUAUUAAGUUAGCAGAAUGCCAACCCGUGUGCCAACCAAAACUGCAGAACAUGGUGGACUAUCAUGAGCCUAUUGCUCGGAAUUGGACUUAGAUCUCACAUAGGAAAGUAUGAGAUUUCCUUUUGGGAUUUAUAUAGACCUAGAUUCUCCAACCUCAACUGCUAGCUUUUGUAGUGUGGUAGUUCGAAGGUCCAUAUCAGCAAUGGAUGGAAAUAAUUUUUCUUCUUUCUACUUUUUUCCUCUUCUAACUUUUCAUUUUGCUUACCUGCAAAGUCUUAAUGCUAUUUCAAAACGAGCAUAGGAACAUACAAGUGGUCCAUAUGCAUAACACAUACCAAGAAUUAAAGUCAGACAUAGAAAUAUGCUGGUAGAAGAAGUAAUGCCAUGCAUCAUAUUCCAAUAAGAUCGUUUAAAACAUGUCAUCAGAUUAGAUUGUCUGACUUGCUUAAAAGCCUAGAAAGUUUUUGUAAUUCAUCGGAUAAAUAUUCAAAUAAGAUCGUUUAUUCAGACUACUCUAUUCCAGAAGUGCUACUUUGUCAACUAACGCAAAUAUUGGCCCACUUGUCCUCCUUGCAGUGUGACUAAUCAAGAACACAUGAACAUAGUCAAUGGAUUGUCUAAAUCCAUGUUUUGGUGAAGUUGCUCACAUUCACAAACUUAAAAAGUGUAUAAUUCUAUGCUAUGUUGCUCCAACUCUUUAUUUGUUUCUAUAUACCCAUGCCUAACACAAAUGUCCAAUACAUACUUGGACUAUGGGAAUAUGAUCCUUUGAGGAAUCGUCAAACACAAGAAAGUCUAAGAAAAAAUUGAACAUGACCAUGUUGGAUACAUACCAAGGCCCAGCACUUACACCUAAGUCCAUGUGGCAUUAGCUUAUAAGUGCAACAUCAAGCAAACAAAGAUGCUUGUAAGCCCCUGCAACAAUCAAUUUACUCAAAGGUAUGACGGCUGAUAAAUACAAAAGGUGCUAAGACAAUUGUAUCAUACAAGGUGCAAGGCAAUUAUAAAGCACUCACCUCAAUAAUGCAAUGGACUUGCAAAUGAAAACAAUCAUAUAACAUCCACAUUAUACCAAAUGGCCUUUGCGAUAUAUCUUUUCGGAUCAUAAACAUUAGAAAGUUAAAUUCAUUUCCAGUCUAAUGUAUAAAGCUAAACGUUGGUACAAAAUUAGCAUUUUUAUUUUCCUUAACUUCCAUCUUGACUAGAUUAAUUAAAUUCAUUUCCAGUCUAAUGUAUAAAGCUAAACGGUGGUAUAAAAUUAGCAUUUUUAGUUCCCUUAACUUCCAUCUUGACUAGAUUAAUAAUCUUCUAUAUUCCUCCAGUCUCUAAAAGGGUACAAUACCUUCAUAAAGUGUACCCCUUUUUAAAGAGGCUUUUGCUUGUUUGUGCCUUUCCUAGGCGCUUACGCAUUGCCUUGACAAUACAUGCACUGUCACGUCAUUCAAUAUUGUGACUGCAUAUGACAUACAACUUUAACAUUAAAUGAAGGUCCAAUAUAGAGAAGUAACACCAUUUUGAUCCAAGAUGAUACUUCGCCAUGUACUUGGCUGUGAAAAGAACGCAAAUGCCAAAUCCAAGAAGACAAACGCAAAGUCGGAGCAGCGGUAGGUAAAAGGAUCAUCCUUUCGCGAUGAUAGCAAUGAUAGCAAAGAAACAAGCUCCAACAUAAAUAACCAAAUCAGACGCUAAAACCUCAAAGAUUGCAAAACUUGUUGACAAAUGCAGUAUUGCAAAUCCGAGAAGAAGACCAAGAUAUGAGCACAAGGAGAUGGGAGAUGGGUCAGUGCAGCUUAAAGGAUUUUUCCUCCCACCAAUAUGGCUAACAAAAGUUCAAAUUAAAAGAAUUAAACCACAAACUGAAGAACUUCAUAGAUUAUGAACUUUGUUGAGAAUGUCAUAAGCUAUGUUACUCAGACUCGGUAUAACCACUGAAUACAUGUACAUGUUUGACACAGCCGCAUCAGGUACCACCUUACAAGAUCAAAUCACCAUAACCUUAUAAAAAAUGUGUCAGAAAUGGGAACCACAAGAAAUGUAAUGAGUCCGAGGAACAUGGUAAGGACGACAUACCUAUCAAGAACUACAAAAGAUUCACUACAGCAUGUGAUACAAGUAUUUCCUAGUAGCAAACUUUUUCUAGGGAAGAAAUCAAUGCAAAGCAUAAAUGUGAAAACAAACCUCUUCUCCCACCGAUUUGCACUGAAAAGUAGAUGGAUUGUGUGGUCAUCCAACUGGGAUUUAUUAGUCAGAUAUGCCGAUAUCAUCUGCCCAACGCUUGUAGUUCUGUCGGGGAAUCGCCAUAACUCGACUGAAUGCCCCAUACCCUCUAAAUACGAAAGCAGCUUCCCACAUUGUGAAGUUUUACCACUACGAUCCAAUCCUUCAAAAACUACCAAGGCACCUCUAGAUUCAUUGCUUGCACCCAUCAGGUUACAAUUAUUACCAUUCUCCAUUCUAAUUGACCUAACUGAACGCUUGCAAGAAAUAUUCAAUCCCAAAUUCAAUGACCUCCUCACGGCCAAAACUCCAAAAUUCCUGGAACCCAACUAGUGAUAAGAUUAAAAUCUCAAAUAAAAGUGAGUUUUUAUUACAAUUUAAGAGCGUCUUUAUUUACUGUUCCAUUUGCGGGAAAGUGAAGAAAGAACAAUUUUUUCAAGGAUCGAGUUUCACAAUGUUUAUUUAUUUAUUUUUUUGAAAAAAUUGAACUUUCACCUUGUGCAGACAAAUAUGGAGUGAAAGAAAUAGAAAAAGAAAAUGUAAAAAAAAAAAUACUUACAGACUUGGAAACUCUAAAAGUGCAGGCAUGUGUCAUGCCUGCAAUCAACAAAAUUACAAACAAAUUGAAGAAUUAAGCAAUGGAAUCUAAUAGUUUGAAGCUUCAUUUAAAAGGAAAAAAAAAAUACUAACUUGAGUAGCUCGUGAAACUUGAGCUCAAACACAAAAAAUGAAGCUUGAAGUUGAGCAUACAAUUCAAGUUCGUUUUUACCAAGUAAACAAACCUAACCAAGCAAUUCAGUAUUUUUUCUCAAGUUGAACUUGAGCCGAACCUCGAGCUUCGAGUUUCAGGUCAAGCUCGGUCUGGUUAGACUUAGACCCCUAAGCCCCUCUCCCUUUCCAUUGUCUUUUUCAGUCUCAAACUUUCUCAGUUCCUCAAUCUCUCAUUCAUUCAUUUGCCUAUCAAUACUUAUAUUAGUUUCACACACUUUCAUAACUUCAUAUAUAAUUAUAUUUUAACAAUUUCACUAUUGUAUAUAAUAAUCUAUUCAUAUAAAUCAUUAUAUAUAUAUAUAUAUUAUAUUUUGAGUACAUUGAAAAUAUAUAACCAUCUAAAAAUAUAUAUUAAUAAAAGAUCAUAUUCUCUAUUAAAAUGUCAGGAAUAAUGGAUCAAUUCAAAAUUUAACAUGCACACUGAGCUUAUUUUGUCUAAUUCAACAAUUAGAUUGCUAAUAUUAAUAGUAUACAAAGUUUAAAAAAUGUAUAAAAUUAAUAAAAUUUUACAUGUAUCUCUCCUUAUAAAUAUUAUAUGCGGGACACUAUGCUCACUAUACCAAUUAAUUUUUAAAUUCAAACUGUUUACAAAUCCACCUUACCUCAAUGAAAAUUAAAAUGUAACAGCUGAAAAAAAAAAAAAAAACUCAACACAAAGAAAUGAUCUCAUUUUUUGAAAAAAAAAUAAUAAGAGAGGAAAAUUAAUGCAGAAAUAUCACACAAAUUCAUACAAAAAUAUCACACAUGAGAUUACGGAACAAAGAUCCAUAAAAAAAAAAACCCAGAAAUUUUGAAGAAAAAAGAGUACCUACCUGAGAUGAAAUGCAGCCAUUAGAGAGAAAAAGAAAAACAGAAAACGAGAGGGUUUUGAUGGGGAAAACUAUGGAGACUUUAUAAAAAGCGAAACCAUUGCCCGCGCAAGACAAAAAGACCAAAUUACCCUCUUUGACCCAAUUGGCCAAUUCUCUCGCUCCUUUGUGUCCUCGUUUCUUUCUCGAAAAAUUCCUCUAGGGUUUUUAAAAAUGGCAAAUAACAGCAAUAAAGAAGAACCAAACACUGCUCCAAAGCCUAAUCAUUGGUACAAUAUAAGUUUGGGGUCUUCUUUCAAAGAUCAACAACAACCUUCCUCCAAAUUCUGCACUUUACGAUGUAAGUUCUCGUUGUUGCUCUUAAUUUUUUUUCUCAGGGUUCUGUUUGGUUUCCUAGAAAACGAAGAAAAAGAUAAGACUAUUGAUGAAUAUUCGAUAUUAUUUUCUUUUUCUAGUUUGGUGUUUGAUUAACACUCUAAAAGAGGAAUUUGAUUAGUGUUGUAUAUUCAUGUUCUGCUAUAUCCAGAAUUGCAAAUCAUUGAGAUUUAAGCUUCAAUUUUCGUUUUGUGUUUCGCGAUCCUUUAAUAUAUAAUUAAAAGGAAAAGUAGUCAUUCAAUCCAUUGAAUUGGAAUAUCGUUGAUUGUCAUCUCCAGCAGUGAAUCUCCAACUUUGAGAUUUCAGGUUUGGUGUUUGUGAGAUUAGUACUUUCUCCAUUAGCUAGGAAUUAUACUUCUAGGCUAUGUUACUUGGUCUAAGGUGUGUGCCGGAUGCGAGUAUGUAUCUUUCACUGAUACCGUUAAAUUUUCAAGUUUCUAUGCCUUUCUACUGUUCUAUCCCAUACCUAUAUUCAAUAUGGGGGUGUAUCUGGCAUGGAUAUGGUGAGCUUUUUCUAUUUUCCAUGUAUUUGGAAUGUUAUAUCCCAUACCGAUAUUUCAAAUCUGAGGCAUCACAUCUUUUGUUUGAUUUUGUUCCAGAUGAAUUUAAACCAGCAUCAAUUGAUAAAAGUCAACCAGGAUUACUCCACAAGGCAAAGGAUAAUCGAGUUAAAGUAGAAUUUGAAAACAAUCAGCAUGGAAAACCCAAGGUGACAUUUGAGGGUGCCAGUGAAGAUUACAAGGAUAAUGAUGCGGUUUUGUUCUUCAACGGUGAGGCAUUCCGGUUGGAGCGUUUACACCGAGCUGUGAAGCGGUUGAGGCAUGUUCGGCAGCCUGGCGAAUCUGCAUCCAUGGUUAUGUCAGCCGGCCCUGCUAUGGAGUCUUAUUCACCUCCACCUCCUAAAGGAGUGAAGCCAGAAUCGUCGAACAAAGUCCCGGUUCCAUCGUUGCCUGUGAGUUUACUUUACCCUGCAAUCUUAUGCAUCUUUUGAGGCGUUGCUGUUUUUAGCAAGAUCUAUAAUUAUAUUUUCUAUUUGUUGUGUUCUCGAUGUGGUUUACAGCUUCAGGUGGAGCGCAUCAAUACAUCUGACUUCACGAGCAGAGGUGAGGUUCUUUUUUGUUUAUGAGAUGCUAACAUAGUUAAGAUAGGCCUUCAUUGUCAUGAUUUUACUGGUUUAUUUGAAUUGUCAGUUGAAACUUAAACCAUCCUAAUGGAAGCCUAAUUAAAGGAGAUAGUUUCUUCUAUCGGAAAGAAGGUACCUGGCUAGGGUAGGAAGUUUCUCGUGCUUAAUGUCUUGAGUGAAAGAAUAGUUUGCUCUUUCUUUUAUCAUAUAUUCUAGCUUGAUGAACUUUAUAAAGUCUUUCUUGAACAAAGAACGCACUUUCGGGACAUCUAAGGAAAGGUAGCGUUUACUGUCUGUCAUUGUCGAUUAAGCCUUCCUAGUGAAAGCCUGAUUCGUAUUAAACCUUCUGUCGGAAAUAAGGUACCCGGCUAGGUUAGGAAGUUUCUUGUGUUUUUGUGUUUUUCUCAAAAGAAUAGGCACUCUCGAGACAUCUAAGGGAGGGUAGCAUUUACCGUACAUUGUUGAAAGCCCUUUUUGGAAUCCCUUCUGCUAGAUGUACUAAGAAUUGAAUAAAAGACAAUUAUCUUUGCUCAUUGACAAAAUCAUCUGGGCACCUGAAUUUUCGCAGAUACAUUAGCAACUUUGUAUUUGAAGAAUUUGUUGUUUUUAGUCAAUUUAUUAUUUAAACCAUGCAAAUUACUUUCAUUGCUCAUAUUGCAGAAUCCAGAAAGGAGAACUCCGAGUUCCCUACGUCAAUUCCAAAUCAACCAACUGCAUCACCAGAUCCUAAAAAUUACGAAUCAGAAGAACAGGUGGAUAUUGUCAAUGACGACGAUGAUAAUGAUGGUUUGGGGGCAGUUAAAGAAGAUGAUGCUUCCGAGAAGGUUUCAACUGGUUUCAAUUUUGAGUUACCACAUCAAAAGGACAUGGAUGAUGAGAUCGCGGAUGUAGAUCUAAGUGAUGAUGAAGAAAAAGCAGGAGGGAAUGCAGCUGAAGCUCUUCGAGCUCAGGUCAAUGCAGAAGAGAACGAAGAACAUACUUCGAGCUCGAGCAGUAGCAGCGGAAGUGAGAGUAGUGGUAGUGGUAGCGGGAGUGGAAGCGGGAGCGAGAGCAGUAGUGAUAGUGAAAGCAAUAAUGAUGGGGAUUCAGUCAUCUCUGUUUAAGUGGUUAAACCUAGUAAUUGUUUUACACUAUGCUACUCGAAUUGGGGGUGAGUAUUGAAAACAGGUAUGUUUUCUUAUAUGGGUAUACUCAAAUUUUUUUUAAAGUUCCUUCUUAUGUUUGGUGAAUCACGCCUCAUAUUUGUCAUAUACAGGUGCCAUACAAGGUUAACUCUGAGAAAAUGAAAAGUCGGAACAUCAUGAUGGACCCAGUUUGGCAUUGCUAUCGAAUGACUCGUUGGUAAACUGGGGUUCAAAUAUGUGAACAUUAUUUACUAUUAUUUAGCAUUGCAAUUAAUUAAAAUCUUCAUAAAGACAUGAAUGGAAUCAAGUUCUGGUUUUAGUCCAAAUGAUUCAUUUCUCGAAACUUGUUACCAAACCCAAUGUUAGGGGUGAUAAAAAGAAUUUUUGCACCCAGUGAGUUCCGAUUCACCCCAAUCCGAUACGAACUUUCUUUUUUUUUUUUUUAAAUCAAGUUUUAGGUUGGAGUGAGUUGUUUAUUAUUAUUAUUAUUAUUAUUAUUAUUAUUUGGGUUUAGAGUUUUAGGAAAAAAAUGUUCAGCCUGUCCGGACAUGUUUAUAAAGUAGUCCUUUUUAAUUUUAUUAUUAUUUUUAAUGAUUUUAGUUACAAUUGUAUAAGAAUUUAUCACAUAUAUUUUAUAUUUUGGUUGUAAUUUUGAAUUUUAUAAGAUUUAUAAUAUAUUAUUUGAUCUAAUUUUGUAAAAGAUAACAUGUUAUAUAGAAUAUUUAAAAUUUAGGGGUGGGAUUAGAAAAGCUAUUUUGGGAUGAAGAUGAAAAUUUUAAAUAAAAUCAAAUUAGAGAGGUUGGGGGUGGGGUGGGGUGAACAAAAAUUGAUCUUGUCUCGUUGUCAUCCCUACUCAAUGUCUAUCAAAGUAAAUCAAAUUCAAUCUCUACUUAAUUUAAAAAAAAAUAUUAGCAUAUAUUUAAGUGGUUUUUGUUAAUUUAGAAAUAAAAUAUUUUUAUUAUAAAAAUUACAAACAAAACAAAAAUAAAAAAUCGAAUUAGAGUACUUCAUAUAGAGUCGGUUUAUUUCUUUAGCUGAAAAAAAAAACUUUUUAUUGCAUAUUUCAAAGUUACUUUUGGCUAAUUUAGAAAUUAAAUAUUUAAUUUUCUAUUAUAAAAAUCUUUUGUAGCAUAUUUUUAAAUUAGUUUUAUUGAUUUACAAAUAUAAGAUUUAUUAUAAAAAAGUUACAAACAAAAUAAAAAUAAAAAUUGAUUUGUAUUAAGUCAAAUUCUAAUAGAAUUCAAAAGGAAUUAGAGAAUAUAAAAUUGGUUUAAAUUUUUUGUUGGUAUCUUAAUAACUAAGUUUUUUAAGUAAGAUUUAAAAUCGUUAUAGCCUUACUUCUUUAAAAGGAUACAAUCUCAUUGAAUUUUUAGACAUCUAUCUGUCUAAAACCUAAACAAAAAAUGAAAUGGAGAAGAGAGUGGAUGGCAAAUUACUCUGUGGGAGUCGAAGCCAAUGAGAAGGGCCAAGCAGUGGUAUCCUUAAACGAAUUCUCAUAAGUUCUUUUCUUUUCUUUUUGAUUGGCAAUUCAGUGUACUAUUGCUCAACCUGUUGCAACAAAAUUAGGAAUAAAUGUCCGACCUGUGCCACUCUAAUUGGCCAUCGAGAAAGUUCUGGAAUCUAUCAAAGUCCCGUGCCGAAACACAAAUUACGGGUACCGAGAAGCAUGAAGCUGAGACAUGAAAACCCAUGUUCAUGCCCAGUUGCUGAAUGCAACUUCGAGGGUUUAUCCAAGCAGUUAUGCAGACACUUCAGGAAUGAACAUGGAGUCUCUGCUACAACCACUUAAAUAACAUUAUUUUAGGAGUCCACAAAAAGUUCCUUAUCCUUCAAGAGGAGGACGGUUCUUUCUUCAUUCUGAACAACAAGGUUGUGACUCUAGGAAAUGUAGUCACUUUGAACCGGAUCCGACCCUCCAUGGACACAUGUUUCUUGUACGAACUAAUGUUCAAUUUAUUUUUAAAAAAAUGAUUUGUUUUACUUUUUUUAUUCUUUUUACAUUUUUUAUGUAUUUGAAAGGGUUUUGAGAGAAUCAAACAAUUGUGUGUAUAAAUAUAUAGUUUGACUGAUAGGUUUGGUUUUAUCUUUUCGCAACAAAAUAUAAAAAUUCUAUAUAAGAAUGAUAAUGGUUUGAUUCAAAUUGAUUUUGAGAAAAAAAUUCAAUGGGGUGUUCUAAUUUUUUAACUUGUGUUGAAUACCAAUUAAAUAUAUAAUUAUUUAAAAGUUUUAAUUAAAAUCAUUAAAUUAUUAUUUUUAUAUAUAACCUUUCUAGAAAUUUAGUUAUGAUGAAAUUUAACCUUAUAACAUAAUUGUUUUUAAAUAAUUUUAUUAUAAACUUUAAUUAUAUUUGUAAUGUUUAAAAUAACCUGUAACUCAUUCCCAAUCCAUAAAAAAAAUAAUACACUUCAAUGCAUAUUCUCCUGCAUUGGUAAUAAACCCAUACUAAUUGAGGUUUAUCGACUACAACAUAAUAAAUUUUAGAAGUUUAAUUUUAUCAUUUCAACCAAUAUAUCAUUUGAUUUCAUUAUAUUUGUCAUAUACAUUUUUUCACUCAUACUGUAAUCUAAGCUAGUGUGUAUAUAUAUAUAUUGGUUUUCUUCACAUCUAUUUUUGACAUCAAUUAAAUGCACUUGAAAGUAAGACCAAGGGCAGCAGAUCAAACAUCAACACUCCAUCUUAAAGGAUUGUAUCCCAAAGCAAUAUACAAAGCAUGUAAUUUGGAACAAUAAUUACAACCACCCCCCCCCCCCCCAAAAAAAAAAAAAACAAGAACAGAAAAGUUAGUUAUUCCAGUUAAACUCCCUGAGGUUGCAUCUCUGAUGGAUCAAUCAGACCCUCUAAUACAACAAGCUGAUCCAGCAGGGCAAGCUUCUCAUCUUCAAGUGCCUUCACUUCAUCUUCCACUUCUUUAAUUUCUUUACCCAUUGCAAAGCUUUCUUCCUCUAGCAGCAAAUACUUUCUCCUCAGUGCUCGGUAUUCGUUUCCCAAUGUCGAAGACUCCGGUAAUGAAUCCGAAUUCGAUCUCUCUGGUUGUUGAAAUAUUGGAGACAUUUCUUUCUUCGAGUUCCUUUUCGAUGCCUUUUGCCCUGUUUUUGAUGGUACAGAUUCUUUGAAAUCAUUCCGUUCUAUCGGAAGCAAUGCUGAUUUGUUUGUCGAGCUUUUCUUUUUUCGUGACUUUGGAUUCAAACCUUGCUCCGACGGUGGCAUCCUUGGAUGAUCCUGCAUUUCUCAAGGCUGGAAACACCACAAGAGAAAACUUCAAAGGUCUUCACUGAUAAAAGCAUAUAUAAGCUAGAAUCAUACAUGAUAUAAGAUUAUGUUGCUCCGACUUUUUUUUUUUUGAAAAAAAAAUCAGUGUUUGACACUUAUGUCAGGUGCAUAUUCAAAAACGGGAGUAGGGAUAUGUUCCUCCAAAUAUAUGAAAAAAAAAUAAAAAAUAUAAAUUUCAACAUACCAGUUUCAGUCAUAUAUCCAUAUUCGACAACCACGCCCGUAACUCAAGAAGUCCAAGUAACAUGCAUAUAGGCAACAACUGGUUAAUGUUUUAUCAGACCCUCUAAUAUAAAAGCUUAUUACAGAUCAUAAUGGUAUCAGUUUAUGGUGGUCCUAUGGUUAUCCUACUCAUCUCAAAAAUCCAUUUCAACUUCAACACUAGGUGAUUAGAAGCCAAAUUACAGAACAAAAAUGCUUUGUAUCAUGCCUAGUAUUACUUGGAAUGCAGAUCGAUCCAAUACAAGCAACAGGAAAUAGAAUGCAAAUCACUACUUGUCUGGAACGUAAUUCCAAAGGCAGUAUUGCACAAUUCACUUAGUACAAACGCAAUACGACUAAUUGGAACCUAAAACAUUUCAUGAAUCCUAUAUUAUCUGGGAGAUGAGAAGCCAAAAACUAGAACAUAAGGCUUCAUGAAUUGGAUCACAAACAAUCCACUUGGGAUGACACGAUCCAGUUCAGAAUUCGGGUAAAGGUGAUCGUACCGUAUGUCAUGUCUACCAGGAUAGGAUUGAAGUUUUAGUAUAUCAUCUUCCUCCUAACUGGCCCCAUGCAUUUAAGGCAUAAGAAGGAUUCAAAAAUGCUGGUGGAUGAUUCAAAUCAAUAUCGUUGUCCCCAACGAGACUUUGAACAGUUCAGAAACAAAUAAGUAUUAGAAUCAAAUAUUACAGAAACUAAUCGGAUCAGUGAUGGCCUAAUUCCAAUCGACUUUCACAUGAACUAGAAAACAUUGUCAGGGAACUAUUCCUUGAUUCAUUUAUAACACGUAAAAGAAAUCCCAGAAAUCUAUCACAAAUAGAGCUUUGCACCAACCCGAUUUCAAAACCCUCUCCAUUUCGAAGCAUCUUUUAAACAAAUAAACUCCCACUUAAUUUCGGAUUAGUUGAAACGUUAACAAAAAUUGUACUAGAAUUGGGUAAAAUCCUAAAUACUAAAGAAAAUUGUAAAAUACCCAUUAUUCAAAUAUGCAUCAAGAAGCCAUAAAUUGACAUGGGAAUUCAUCAAACAGAAAAUUACCUUAGGAAAUUUGCAGAGCAAGCUUGGGUUCAGAAGCUGGGAAUUAGAGGGAUUCGAUUAUUUAUCAAACGGAUUGGGAUUGGGAUUGGGAUUGGGAUUGGGGAAAGAGAGUACAUGUGUAUGUGUAUGUGUAUGUGUAUACAGUAUAUAUUUAUAUAUUUGAGUAGAAGAAAUUAAUUGAGUUCGUUGUCCGACUUUUGGAAACGACAAAGGGAAAAACGAAUAAUAAUUCAUUGAACUUUGAUUUUUUAUAUAGGAAUUAAUAUAUAUUUUGACCCUUACCAUUCAUUUUGAUAUCUAAAUUAGUCCUAACUUUAUCAUAUUACUAUAUGGAAAUUUAAUUAAUUCAUGGAAAUUAUAUAAUUUGAGGAAAAAUAAUAAAAGUCGUGGUAAACAGCGAAGAAUAAGCUCUAUCCAAGUAAUAAAAACUUCAUUCUCAACAUUAAUAGAACAUUAUAACACAUUAAAAAUUUACUUUUAGUCAUAAUUCAAGCACGACAUAUCUGAAGUGAUUGCAAAUACUUAAUAUGAUAAGAAAAUCAGCCUCAAAUGUUCUAAAAUGUCAGGUAAAAAUCGAUAAAAAAACCGAGCAUCCAUCAAACUAGAGAGUAUAACGACAAAACCAUCCCUGAAAUCACUUGCAAAAUCAAGACUACAUGCAUAAACAAUACUAAAAAAUGUACUACAAGAGAAAACAAAAGCUUUUAAAAGUAAAGACUUAUUAAACAAUAGAAAAUAAACAAAAAAUAUAAAACUUGAGACAACACAGGUCCAAAUUGACUUGUGAAAUAAUUUAUUAUUUUGAAAUACUAUCAAAACAUAAACAUAUUAAGAAGUCAACAAAAAGUCACCAAUUUUUCAAGAGAAAUCAUUGGUGGUUGGUGGAGUUUCAAUAACGAUAGGCACCUUUAUCUGUCUAUCACAACUUGUGAAGAUAACAAAGAAAACCAUAAAACAGGUCUGCACACUGAAAAGAGAGAAGGCACAUGGAAUGAAUGAGAAUAAGAAAGAAAGAGAAAGUUGGUGGGAGGGAGAAAAAGUCGGGCAGUAAUCAACUCGGAGGUUAGCAUUGCUGCUGAGAAAAACAAAAGAGAUGAAACAAACAACUUGGAGAAAAAAAAUUCAUGCAUUAAUGAUUUUCUGAAUAUUUUUUUAUUAUCUUUCCUUAUUUUCUUCAUGAUUACUUUUUUUUAAAAGAUUCUUGCUAAUCAUAGUCAUAUCCAUAAUUGUAUUUAUAUUCGUAUUUUUGACAUGUUCAGUAGUUCAUAUUGGAAGGUUUUGUCUCUCUACUCCAUUGAAAGUUCGAGUGUUUAAAAGGGCCGAAAGUUUAAAAAAGUGGGAGCUUUUUAUUGGGUGUAUGAAAAGGCAAAUUGCAUGUACACAUAUGAUCACUUAUAGGAAUGAAAAUGGAGCGAGGCGGGGCGAAUAUUACUAAAUCCACCACCACUCCAUAGCUGACAAGCUCUGCACUAUUAUCCGCCCUGCUCUACUAUGAAUGUAUAAUCUUGAAAACUACUAACACUGUAACACUCCUUGCCCGACCUGAUCAUCUGAUCCGAGCUAAAGGAUGCCACAUCUGUUGCCGGAGCAACUAUCGUCAAAUGCACAAUAAAUAAAUCAUUCAAACAUUCAAUCAUACCGUAAACACAAUCAUAUUAUGAUCCACAAUUAAAUCUAAGUCUUAAUUGAGCUUACAAAAGUCCUUUUGUUGACCCGAGCAUGAAAUAGGACCAAAUUGUUAAGUUUUGAAAAUUCAAGACUGACGUUGUGACUUCACUUCCUCCACGUCAUGACCUCAGGCCACUUGACAUCGUGACGUGACACACUGUCGGUCGGCAUUGCCGCAAAGAAAGUUGCUCAUUGAGACGUGUACUUUGUUUUUGGUAAAUUUUAGGUCAUUUGAUACCUAUUUCAAGCUUACACCCUAAUUCAUUCAUUUUAUGCAUAAUGCACAACUUUACAUGCACCAAACAUCCAAAACACAUGCUAAAACAAUCCAUUCAACCAUUCCAAACCAAUCAAUCCAAUAUACUUCAAUUUGGCAUGUAAACAUAUCAUCACAACUUAUUCAAUUCCAACCUAUUCAAUCAUGCAUUUAUCUAUCCAAAACCAUCAAAUUAAUCAUGUUAAUUCAUACCCCAAAUAUGCCAUACAUGUAACACCCUUCACCCGUAUCCAACGUCGGGAUAGGGUUCGAGGCGUUAACGGGCUUAAACAUUCACAACAACACAUAACAUAUUACCAACCAUGCAUGGCAAACAAGCAUAUGCACAUCACCAAUAUCAAACAUAACAUAAAUAGCUAGAUUUAUAAGUCAGAAUCAUUAGCUCACUAAAGACCAAUAUAUUUGGCCAAAUUAUAAUAACACAUGUUAUAAAACUAGGUCCCUAUACAUGCCACUCACUUGAUAAUUCUAGCAUAUGUGUUUAUACUGCCAAGGUGUUGGCUUGAUAGUGUGAUACUGCCUCCGACGAUCUCCAACCCUGAGCUAACCUGACAACACUAAAAGAAAUGGAAAGGAGGGGGUCAGCUUUACGCUUAGUAAGCUCGUAUGAAAUAAUAAUAAGCAAUUUACUAACAUGCUUUCCAUAGUAAAACUAAUCCAAUUGUACAUUUACACAUGUUCUGGUUAAGCUGCUUUCUUGAGUCACAGUCACUAAAUCAUUUAUAUCUGGAGUUACGAAACUGAAAAUUAAGAUACGUAAAUUUUUCCAGAAACUAGACUCAUAUAUAUUUUCACCAUAAAAUUUUUAGAAUUUUUGGUCCAGCCAAUAAGUACAGUUUAUUAUUAAAAUUCUCCCCUGUUUCACUGUUUGACAGCUUCGACCUUUCUUCGCUAAAAUUUAUUUAUCUCAUAGUACGAGACUCGGAUAAUGUUCCCAUUUGUUUCUAUUAAAAGUAGACUCAUCAAAGAUUCUAAGAAUAUAAAUUAUAAUCCAUAAUUAUUUUUUUAAAAUUUUUAAAAUUUUUUCUAAGUCAGAACAGGGGAUCUCGAAUUCAUUCUGACACUAACUCACAAAAAUUAUAAUAUCACAUAAUAUAAAAUCUUUUGUUCCCCCUGUUUUCUUUAUAUGAAAUUAUACUUAUUAAGAUUUAAUUCCAUAAUUCAUUUUAAAUUUAAUUCAACUUACACAAUUUUUGGUGAAUUUUCAAAGUCACACAACUGCUGCUGUCCAACACUGUUUUACUAUUAAAAUUUACUCUUACAUAAUUUCACUUAAUCCAUUUUGUCUUAUCGAAGUUCACUCAAAUAUCGAGCAUAUUGCUCAAAAUUUUCUUAAACAUAUACCUGCACUUAUUCAUCAUAUAAUCAUGUUCACAUGUAUUUUUACUUAAUCGAUUUUCCCGUUGAACUCUUCGAAAUAAUAACUGAUACUCAGUUGCCUGCAUAUAUUUUCACACUUGUAGCCAAAGCUAUCUGGUACGCAUAGUAGCCUGCACUUAGUACUACACAUGCGACCAAUUAUCCGGUACACGUAGUAGCCUGUACUUAGUACUACACACAUGACCUAGCCAUCUGAUACACGUAGUAGCCUGCACUUAGUACUACACACGUGAUCGAAGUUAUCGGGUACGCAUAGUAGCCUGCACUUAGUACUACACAUGCGACCAAUUAUCCGGUACACGUAGUAGCCUGCACUUAGUACUACACACGUGACCUCAUAAUAGAUCAUUCGUAUCGUUUCUAUUCCGAAGGCUCAACCGGGAAAUUCCUCACUUUCUAACAUGUUACAAUUUAUUCAUAGUCCUUUUUCAAUUUGCAAUUUACAACAAAUAAUCAUUCUAUAGGCAGCUACAUUUCAUAUGAUAAAAAAAUAUAAUAAAAUAAAAAUAAUCGAUAAAUUAUUUACGUACAAACUUACCUCGGAUCCAAAAUGGCAAUUUACCAUUCUAGUCCAUAACCUUGUAUUUUCCCGAUUUAAGCCCAAAUCUCGAUUUCCUUUAUCUAUAAUAUCACAUUUAGCCGACUAAUUAGUCAUACUAUUCAUAUGGGUCUAAAAAUCAUAUUUUUACAAAUUUGCAUUUUGACCCCUAAACUUUUGCAUAUUUGCACUUUUUCCCCAAGGUUCGGAAAUUAAACUUCUUCCUAUUUUCUUAUGUUUUAUGACAUGCUGAUCAUUUUUCCCUUCUAUGGAAACAUCAAAUUCUCACUCUAACAUGUACUUAUGAGCAUUAGGUAUUUUUACCGAUUAUACUAUUUUACUCGUUUUCACGUAAAAUCGCUUAGAAAAAGUUGUUUAACACAAUUUCAAGCUUCAUAUUCUACCAUUAAACAUCAAAAUACAUGCAUAUCAUUCAUGGGUAAAUUUUUAAACAUAAAUCCUAGUUCAAAAUAAUGGUAGAAAUGAGCAGAUCAUGUUAUCGGGAUUUCAAAAAUACAUAGAACAUUAAAAACAGAGCUCGGAAUCACUUACUAUUAAGCUUGGAAGCUUGGCCAAACCCUAACCAUGGCUGCUCUUGGUACAUUCUGCUGUAGCAAGAAGAAAGGGAUACAUUUGGAGUUUAAAAUUUGUCUUUUAAUUCAUUUUAUCCCUAAAUGACCAAAAUGCCAUUUUUACUAUUCUUUCAAAAUUUACCCAAUUAAGGCUAUUUUUGUCCAACAAGUUAUACAAUGGUUCAAUUAUCAUUUAAGGACCUCAAAUUUAAAAUUUCAUAACAAUUGAUACCUCUAAUGUGUAGAACUCAACUUUUGUACUUUUUACAAUUUAGUCCUUUUUACUAAAUUGAGUGCCCAAACGUCGAAAUUUUCGAACGAAAUUUUCACAAAAUCAUUUCGUGAAAUUGUAGACCAUAAAAAUAUAAUAAAAAUAAAAUUUUUCUCAACAUAUUUGUGGUCUCGAAACCACUAUUCCGAUUAAGCCCAAAAUCAGGAUGUUACAAUACAUAUAGCUUAACACAUCACCAAAACAUACACAUAUAUAUAUGAACAUUAGCCUUUCUAAAAUCAAACAUUAGUUAGGGUUCAAACUAUAGCUAUCAUUAUCAAGUUAACAUAUAUAAACACCUAUAUACAUGUCACAAAAUUGGACUUAAAACAAUUAAAAAACUAUCAAUUUGAAAAUGAGAUAGUGCGAGCUUUUUGCUGAUUCAUUAUACAUAUUUCGCAAGUUGGUAAUCUAUAGGUAAAAGGAAAAACAACGAGAUAAGUAUAUUGAAUGCUUAGUAAAUUCAUAGAUAUUUAAACAACAACUUACCUUAAUUUUCAAUUCAAACACAAUAAGCUACUAGCUUGACAUAGAUUAUCUAAACAUGGAAAAUCACAUCAAUAAUAAUGUGAGCUUAUCAUGAAUUCAAACCAUAUAGCAAUCUGAAUCAUAUAUCAAACGAAUUCAUGUCAUUUUGAAUAUCACAUUUUCAAUCUCAUUUAAUCAAUCAAUAGAUAUUGAAAUUAUAUAGAUAUUCAUGCCAUUAUUCCAAAUCAAUAUUCCAGUUCAAUUCAACAUUUUUAAAUUUAUACAUCAAACUCAUAUCAUACACAGGUAUCUUGAUACCCUAGUUACUUGUUUAAGCUAAAUAUAUAUACAUGUCAGGUUACCCUUUCAAGCCAAACCUUUUAAACAAUAUCAAAUUACCAUUCUAGGCUAAACCCGUGUCACAAAUAUCGUCAAUAUAACAAUUGCUCGUCCGAGCUAAACAUAGAUUCGUAUCAGGUUACCAGUCUAGGCUAAACCUUUAGAAUGACAUCAGGUUACCAGUCCAGACUAAACAUGUGUCUCGUGUAUCUCUAAAACACCAAAUGUUCAUCUAAGAUUACCAAUUUGGGCUAAACCUUUAAUGAAAUAUUCGAUUGCUUGGCCAAGCUAAAAACAUACAUAUAAGGUUACUUGUCUGGACUAAAACCUUUAAAACAACAUCAGUUUACUCGUCUAAGCUAAACCUGUGUCACAUGUAUCUCUAAGUCGACAACAAAUGCUGUGUAAUAGCCCGAAUUAGGGCCUAGUCAAAACGGUGGUCUCGGGACCACAAAUUCAAAGUCGGGAAAUUUAUUAUUAUUAUGAGGUUAAAGUAUGAUUAUAUUAGUGCAUGAAAAAUUUGGGGAGUUAAUUUUAAUGUUUGUGAGCCUGAUUGCGAAAAAGGACUAAAUCGCAUAAAAGGAAAAAGUUUCAUUUUUGUACCCAAAUGUGUCAAUUAGCUAGAGAACUAAAAUUGAGGGCUUUUAAAGCGAAAUUAGACCCUUUUUAGAGUACUUGGCCAGCCAUAGAGUAAAAGGGGGGAUAAAAUUUUUGUGUUUGGUGUGUUAGGUGACUUGUUUGGACAAAAAUAAAGAAAAAAAUGAUAUCAUCUUCUUCCCAUUUAUUUUUCCACCGAAAAUAGCAGCAAAAGAGGGAUUUUUGAAGCUUUGAAAUUUCAAAAAUUUAUCACCUCAACAAGUAAGUGAUUUCCAUGUCAUUUGUUGAUGAUUUUUACAUUUUUAAGACCCUUGAAGCAUGAGCUUUCAAAUGAUGGGUCCAUAUUACAAAAUGGUGGAAAGUUUAAGGUUUUUCCAUGAGAGAAUUUAGGGUGUUUUCUUAAAAUUUAUGGAAGAGUAUGAGUCCUAGCUAUGUUAUAAACAACUUUUGUGAAGGAGUUUUCAUGGAAAACACCUAAAGGGGCUAUUCUGCAUAAGUUGUAAAAUAGUUGAUGAAUAUGUGAAAUAGUGAGAAUUUGAAGUUGUUAUAAGAGUAAAAAGGGUUCGGCUAGGCUUGAGAUAUGAGGAAAUUCGAUAAAUCGAAUUUCGUGCAUAAGGGUAAAAUGAUCAAAUUGCCAAAGUCUAGGGGCAAAAUAGUUAUUUUACCAAAAAUAUGAAUUUAUGAUUGCCUAAUUGUAAUUAGUGAUUAAAUGAGUGCAUUUUUGCUAUUAUAGAUCAAGAUUUACUGAAUCCGAACCUAGAUCAGAGGAAAGCCAAGUAAAUAGACUAAAUCGACUAGUCGAGUACAUUUUGUUAUCCGAGGUAAGCUGUAUGUAACUAAUACAACUAUAUUGCUAAUGUAUGUAUUCGAAUUUUCAUUAAAUUGAUAUAGUAUAAAUUGCUAGAUUGUGGACUGAGAAUGUAUAUUAACAAUUGAGAUAAUAGAAAGAUCUAGUUGGGACCCUAAGAAACAAAUUGGAUAUUCAUGCCAUAACAUUCAGAUUACUUGUGUGCUAGUGUAAGACAUGUCUAGGACAUGCAUUGGCCACAUUAUGAAUGCCAGUAUAAGACCAUGUCUGGGACAUGGCAUCGGCGUAGAGAUGAGUACUAGUGUAAGACAUGUCUGGGACACGUAUCGGCCUCGACGAUGAUAGCCAGUGUAAGACGUGUCUGGGACAUGCAUCGGCUAAGAGUUGUACUAGUGUAAGACAUGUCCGGGACAUGCAUCAGCACGUACAUAUGAGAGCUAGUGUAAAACCAUGUCUGAGACAUGGCAUCGGCCUCGAUGAUGAUAGCCAGUGUAAGACCAUGUCUGGGACAUGGCAUCGGCAACUUAUCCCAUGUUUGAGGCUUAUAGAAUAUCCAGUAGUAUUCCAAAAGGUCCAACUUUAAAGGUUACAAAAAUGAUUUAAUGAGGAAAGUAUAAUAAUGUUGUGAGUGGUAUAGGUACCUAUUUGGUAUGCAUGAGUAAUGAGCUCAAAUUAGAAAAUGUGACUUGAGUAAACGGUAAUGAGUAAGUCAAGUUUAUGCUUACCUUUGAGCUAUGAGCAUGAUGACUAAUGGUGAAAUUGUUGUUGUAUAUCUAUUUAUAUGCAACUUACUAAGCUUUAUGCUUACUCUUUUUCCUUUCCCUUUUCUUUUAGUGCCGCUUAAUUAGCUUAAGGUUCCCUUGAGGUCGGAGUUAUCGAUCACACUAUCAAUCGAAGCACUUGGUAUAGUACAAAUCUUCUUUUGAGUAUGACAUGUAUAGGGCUAGACUAAGAUGUUUGACUUAAUGAGAAAUUGAUUAUGUAUUUUGGCUUAAGUCAAAAGCCCUUCAUUUUGUAUCAAGCCUAGAAUAAUGGCUAUUAUUCAUUUUGUAAAUGCAUAUAAUGUUCUUUCUAUGGAUGAAUUGGUGUCUAUUGUAGUGAAAUUAGUAUAUUGAAAUGAUCUUGUGUAGGUUGUGUAAGAUGGGUGACAAAAUGGCCUCCUUUGGUCCACACGGGUAAUGCACACGGGCAAGGCACACGGGCGUGUGCCUAGGCCGUAUGUCCCCUACACUUAAAAUUUUAAGUCAGUUUAGUACACAGGUAGGCCACACAGGCGUGUGUCUAGGCCGUGUGUAACACACGGCUCACCCCCAUGGGUGUGUGUUAUGGUUGUGUGUCCCCUACACUUAAAAUUUUAAGUCAGUUUAGUACACAGGUAGGCCACACGGGCGUGUGUCAUGGCCAUGUUUUAAAGUCAGUGUUGUACACGGGCGUGCCACACGGGCGUGUGUCAUGGCCGUGUUUUAAAGUCAGUGUUGCACACGGGCUAAGGGCACGGGUGUGUCCCAAGCCACGCAAGCGUGUGUGACCACACGGUCUAUAUCCACACGGGCGUGUGGAGUUUUAAAGCAUGAAUUUUCCAAGUGUUUUUAAGUUCUCGGUUUAGUCCCGAACUGUCUCUAAUGUAUGUUUUAGGCCUUGUGACCCUGUUUAAGGGACAUAAUGCAUGUGAACGAGAAAUUCUAAGUUAAAAGAAAUUUUAUGACUCGGUUUUAUAUGCGUAUGCUUGAGUUAAGUCCGGUAGCACUUCGAACCCUGUCCCGGUGUCAAAUACAGGCGAGGGGUGUUACAUGCUGGAUCUCUAUAAUCAGUGAUAAUCAAUCUGUAUCAGUGUGAAAAAUAUAUUUACUAAGUGCAUCAUAAAUUUUCAACACAUAUAAAUACAUAUCUUUACAAUUUAGUCCAGUUCUCUCUUAUUGUACCAAAUCGCAACAAUCCAAAAUUUAGCCAAACAAACACUUAUUCAUAAUUCAUAAACAUAACAAUUUAAAUACAAUCACACCAUAUGAAUUUACCUGGUCAAAUGAAAAAACAAGCUGAAUUUGUAAGGACUAAUUGAAAAUUCUGUCUUUUCCUUUAUUAUCUUCGGUUUGAUUCAAUUCUCGAUCUAAACAAUAAUUCAGAUCAAUUUAUUAAUUCUAAACAAUUUAUAAUAUCCUAUUAUAUGGAUGAAUCGGUUCAAUUUAGUUUUUUUGCAUUUUAUUCAAUUCAGUCCCUAAAACCGAAAUUGCAAUAACUUUCAAAUUUGAGUUUCAAUUUCAAAACCAAUCUCAAUUACAUCCUUUUAGGGCCCUCUACUAUCAAUAAUUACAAAAAGAAUUCACAUGAAAUUUGAAAUCUAUUCACUUUAGUCUUUAUGUUAAAAAACUUAACAAUUAAACUUUACAAUCUAGUCAUUUUUCAUAUCUAAGCUUAAAAUCUAUUAGUUUAACACCAAUUUCUUUAAAAAAAAUCAUCAACGGAAACUUUUAGAAACUUUAACAGUUUCACAAAUUACUACAUAGACUAGCUAAAUCAAACUUUCACAAUUUCAAAAAUAUAAAACAUAUAAGAAAAAGACUAAAAUAAACUCAACUAAUUAUUUUCGAAAGUUUGAAGCUUCCAAACCUUAUUUUAUACCUUUUCUUGCUUCGUGAAGAUGAAAAAAAAAUUUCUUUCUUUUUUUUUUUUUUUUGGUAAAAAGAAGACAUUCCUAUUAACUAGGAAGAAACAACGGACGAGCUUCCUUCAUAUGAGUGAACAUUACUAUCCUCUUCAAGUAGUUGAAUUACGAAAUUUGGACAUUAAUACGAGCUUUCUUUCUUUUCUUUUGAAUUUUGUCUUUUAUACUUAAUUAUUUUCUAAUUAAUCAUAAUUAGUUAAUUGGACAUUAAUUAAUUAAACAAACAUAAUUAGCAAAGUUGGUGGAUUAUAUUUCCAUCCACCAUCGAUUUACUAUAUAAUAAUUGUCUAAUUGCUCAAUUGGUCCUUCGUCAAUUUAGAAAUCUAUAGCGAUAAACUUUUACAAUUUUUACAAUUUAGUUCUUAUACUUUAAUUAACUAUCAAUUUGACAAAAUUAAGAGACCAAACUUUAAUACUAAUCUUGUAAAUAUUAAAUAAUAAUAUUUAUGAAUGCCAACAUCAAAAAUGGGGUUUCAAAACUACCACUUUUGACAUUAUUAGAAAACGGGUUGUUAUAACCACCUCUAUGAAUGUUGGAUGCAUCUAUCCUCGCCUUAUGCCACUUUGCUUCAAUUUAACUUUUGCUACUUAUCUUUAAUAUUUUCAUUAUUUUUAAAUUCAAGUAAAUAUUUAAACAUAAUUCUGUAAAAAAAUUAAAAAUAAAAUAUAUGGAUUUUUUUCUAUAUUACGUUAUUGCAUUUUUACCUUUUUAAUAGUUUAUAUAUACAACGAUAAAAUAAUAAUUUCAUAUAGUGGUGCGAGUCGAGGUGGGCAAGCAAUUGUUGUAACUGUUCCAUACCCACUAUCCCAAAAGAAGAAAUCCACCAUUGCCUUGCCUCACAUCCACUUUUUUUUUAAAAAAAAUCGUUUAUUCCGAAGUAGAUUGAUUUAGAAUCCAUUGGAUGAUUUGGUUUUUGCAAUCUAUAAUCACCUAUCAAGGAAUUCUCAACAUUUACACCUUAUGAACGACUAAAUACCACUUAAGGUGAACGAGCUCAACAAAGUGGGAACACCUUCAUACAUUACACAAUCACCCAUUUUUCAGUUGCUACUUGAACUUGUACUAAUUAUUUCUUGGGUUUAAUUCACAACUUGACCUUUGAAUUAUAUCUUUUUUCUACUUUGAUACUUAUUUUUUUUUUGUUUCUUUUUGGUACUUAAACUAUCAUUUUGGUCCAUCUUUGAUACUCGAAAAUUGCUAGUAUCCAAUAAGAAUGUGGCAUGUAUUACAUUCUAAUUGGCAACUUUUAAAGUAAACUGAGACGAAAUUAAAAUUUAAGUAUUAAAGUGAGAAAAAAAUGUUUAGAUUAAAUUGUGAAUUAAGUCUAUUUUUAAUAUUAUAACAAACUAUUUUAAAAUUAAGGUUUUUUAUUUUAUCAGUCCAUUCGAUUUAAAGAAAAUAAAUUAUUAAAAAUUUAAAAUGUAAAAACAAAAUAAAUCAUAAAAAUUAGUUAAACAUGUUUGUACUAAUUUUAUAAAUUAACUAUUUUUUUUAUCUCUCACCAAAUUAAUACUUAAUUUUAGUUAUAUUAUUACGUACAAGGAGAGAGGAAUUUUCAGAGCGUUCUGUUUUUGAAUUUUGAACAUAACCAAACCACGUCGUUUUCGGGUUUCGGCUCUAGAGGCACACACACCUUCACGUUUUUUUUUUUGAACAUGCACACCUUCACGUUUUAGCUCUCUUUUAAGCUAGUCUUGCGAUCAAAUUAAUAGCCUCUUCAUCCAUUUAUGUAUGGUAAUUUCACACUCAUGUUUAUGCAUUUUGUUAUAUUUUAAUUAUAUAUUACCAUUUUAUAUUUUUUUAUAAUUUUUUAAAUAACUUUAUUAUAGGUUCUGCCCUCCCAAUUCAUAAAUAGGAGAAUAAUGCAUUUUAGCGUAUUCGAACUCAUGUCCUCUUGUGUUGACAAUAAUGCUUAAUUGAGUUAAGACUCAAUCAACAUAUUUUUAUAAAUUUUGAUAUUAAUGAUUUGUAUUAAAAAUAUUUUAAACAAAGACACAUUAUGCUAUUGAGGGGAUAAUAAAGUUCGAAUCUUAAAGAUAAUAUUAUUAGAAGAAACAAUCAUAAAUUUUUAAUAUGAACUGUAAAUGAAUAUGAAAACUACUCAAAACUUUUAAAAAUUAAUGUAUUCAAUAUUGUAUUCUUAUAAGUUUUAGGUAAAAGGUAAAAGGUUUUGGUUGGUCAAAAGUAACAAUUUAUAUGCAAGGAGGUGAUGCAUUUAUAUCAUACUUUGAUUGGGUAGGUAAUAUCAAAUAUAGGUAGAUAUUUGAUACUAGUAUUUUAAUUUUUUAUGAGCCUUUUUUUAUAUAUAUAUUUUGUUAAAAGUAGGGUAUUUAUUAUUAGAAUUAGUAAUUAAUUUCUUCGUUACAAGUUUUUUUGUAAGAGAUAAACAAUUGAUUCUAAAAUAUGUUUCAUUCGCAUUAGUAGAGAUUAAACUGUGACCUCAUAAUUAAAAAAUGAGGUGAACAACCACUAUUCCGCACAUCAUGAUUAAUUUUUUUUAAUAUUUGAAAUCAUAUUCUUAAACUCAUAUGUAUUCUAUCCAAAUGUCUUAACAUAAAUACUUGAAUAAAAAAGGGAUAUAAGGUAUGAGCUGUAACAAUACAGUUGGUAAUAUCUUUGCUGGAAUUUUUAAUGGCUGACUAAGAUUUGAGAGUAUAAUUUCAAAAUUAAAUGUAAAUAUUUAUUGUAUUAAAAAAUAUUUAUUUAUAUUAUUUAUUAAAGUUUAAUGCAUAACGUGAUUAAGGGUUUGGAUCAGAAUUAGAAAGUAAUGAUUUACAAUCAGAGAUCCAGUCAAGAUUUCUUUCCUUUUUCUUUAUUUAAUUUUAUUAAUGUGACUAAUAAAACAGUUGAAAGCACACCCUACCUAAAGUUUUAUUCGAUGUCCCAACCGACAAAACACAAAAAUUUAUUGUUUUUUUUUUUUU
Molecule: long non-coding RNA, 83674 nt
Filed under: Gossypium barbadense (sea-island cotton)
Lineage: Eukaryota; Viridiplantae; Streptophyta; Magnoliopsida; Malvales; Malvaceae
Description: long non-coding RNA (GBAR_LNC010160)
Source: RNAcentral